Molecule: long non-coding RNA, 50584 nt
Filed under: Sorghum bicolor (sorghum)
Lineage: Eukaryota; Viridiplantae; Streptophyta; Magnoliopsida; Poales; Poaceae
Description: long non-coding RNA (SBIC_LNC005169)
Rfam family: Plant small nucleolar RNA R71 (bases 3569-3675)
Source: RNAcentral
GAGUUUUUGCAGAUUUUCAAAUAAAACUCAGAGAUUCCUUGUAUGAUUCUCUCAGGUCUCUCUUUUGUGGUAUUUUUGGAUCCUUACCAAGGCAGUGAUGGUAUAUGCCUUCUCUCAAAAUAUGUAGUAUUUGUGGUAUGAGGCAUAGUGACAUUGCCUUCUCUCUCACCCUACUCUAAUAAGGCUUUAAUAUCUGGAGUUCAUAGGUGGGAGAUAAAGUAUACAUACUUAUAAGACAUUUAUUGCAUAGUCAAACCAUGGAUCCAAAGAAACAAAUCAAUAAGCCAAAUCAAGAUGUGCAUGUGUGGCGAAUGAAUGAUGUAUGGUGAUGAUGGCGAUAACAAUGGUGGAAACAAUGGUGGUGGAAGUCUAAUUCUACUUUGCUCUUUGAGGGGAUACAUACCUUCCUUGCUUUUGAAACUUUAUGAGGAGAAUGAGAUGCUCUUCUUUUUCUUUUCUCUUAGGUGGGUAUAUUGUACCCCUAAUUCUACUGUCGGACACUUGUCCAUUUUUACUUCUCGUCUCACCUUUUCUUUUCUUUCGAGGUUCCGAGCACUUGCUCCUUUUUAUUUCCUCGUAUCUCUCUCUUUUUUUUCAGAGCAUUCAUCUCUUGAGAUAAUAUAGCAAGUGGUAGUAACAAGAUAACUUGAGCAUUUAUUUCACAAGGGGAAAAUAGAAAUAUUUUUGGUUAUUCUCUCCCGGAUUAGGAGCAGAAUAUUUUUGGGUGAUUCUGGAGAUGGAAUGGGUGGAUAUAUGUGGAUGGUACUUCCGGAGUAGAAGUAGCAUAUAUGAGUGAACGUGCAAGUGAAAUCUUGAUUUAACCACAUGACAAGUUCCAAAGGGUCUACACAGCUUGACCACACUCAAUGCUCAUAAGCAGUAACUAAUAAAUGUGUGGCUCAAAGUCUAACAAGCAUGUAUAUAUGGUUGUGGUAGGAAUUUAAACUCUCAUCAUAAAGGAACUCAUCAUGCAACAUUUUAAAGAUUUUCAAAGAUAAAAUUCUCCAGAAUUCUAGCAUCUCUCGGAACAGAUAAACAACAGCUCAACCUUCCCAUAUCGUAUCCGUUAACAACUUAGACUUCAGAUCAAAUAUUCAUCCCACAAGUUUAGGUCUAGAGCAAGCUUUAAAUUAUAACAGUUAUAUCUAAACUUGAGAGAGAACUUAAAAUUUGCAAAUUAGGCAGAGCAACUAUUCAUCAUAUCCAUGCUUAAGUUUUAUUUAGAUACAGAUUAGCAUAGCCACUUUAUUUAUUUAUUAAACACACUAAGCAAAAGACAAAUAUAUAUAGAAGCAUGAAAUCUUUAUUUGGUUUUCCAUAGUUUAUGUGUAUUUUAAUAUUCUAAAAUAAUAUAAGUAUAAAGAUAGAUAGAAAUACUUAUCGAGAUAAAUGGGGGUGCUCUCCCCCAAGCUGAAUUUUGACGUAAUUUCUCUUGAUGUAGCUAGCAGGUGGCAGAGGUGUAUUUGAAAGUCAGCAGCAUUCUGACAGCGAUUAGAAUGUCCUCCGUCUGCUAGUCUUCUUGAUUCUUAAAUUCUCUUGGCAGGGCGUUCGGUGUUUUUAAGUCCUCCGAACGGGACUCUCCAUUUUCUUAAUUGUCCUGAGGUUCGUUGGGUGGCGAAGUCGGUACUUCCGGCAGCGCCUCCUCUUCAUGUAUAGUUAUCUUCAUUUUCCACACCUGAAUCGGUGCUUCAAUCUCCUCUAGAUAAUUCUAUUUAAACUCUACGUCUUCUGACCUUACAACUUCUCCUUCAUAGUCUGCCCAUCCAUCCUUGAUGAUCUGCCUCCUCUGGUUGCGGUUGCGUCUUUUCCUUACCUGCUUAGAUUCUUCAAUGAUAUAGUUAGGGUCAGUAAAGUAACGGUGUACCUUCUCUGAGGGGAAGUGCAUAUGGACUUCUCCGGUUCCAAUGUAGAUAAUUGCUUUAACAGUGCUGAGGAACGGUCUUCCAAGGAUGAUGGGUGGAUCAUACUCAUCUUCUCCCAUGUCAACAACUUGAAAGUCUGUGUAGACAAAGUGAUCGUCUAUUUUGACUGGGACAUCAGAUACUAUUCCUUUGACUUCUCGAAAUGUCUGAUCUGCCAUCUGAAGCUGAAUGUAUGUUGGUCUUAGUGGCAUGGUUCCGAACAAGAGCCGAUAGGUGACUGCGGCCAUUAUGUUGACGCCUGAUCCGGUGUCGCAAAUCGUCUUGUAGAAGUUGUAUCCAUUUAUGGAGCAGUAAAUGCUUGGCAUUCCUGGGUCGUCCUUCUUGGUCAAAAACGGUGACUUAAGUUGAUGAUCUUGACCUCCAUGAACUACUGUGACCAUCUUAGCUGACUCGGUCCACACUUGCUUGUUCCUGUUUCUCCUGUUGGUCCUCCUCCCUGAUUUACGUCUGGAUUGAUCUGGAAUUUGUGUAGUCUUGUUCUUGAAGAAAAAUGUCUCCUUCUUCCCUUUGUCAUAGAAACUGAUCUUGGCAGCACUGGCGUAGAUGAUAGCUCCCGUGGUGUUCAAAAAUGGCCUUCCUAGGAUGAUAGGUGCUCUCUCAUCAUUUCCGGUCUCUACCACUACGAAGUCUGCUGGGGCAUAUAAGGUACCAACUCGGACACAAUGGUUCCUCACUAUUCCUUUUGGAAAAGUUAUCGUCUGAUCUGCAAACUGCAAACACAUAGUUGUUUCUAAUAAAGGAUAUGUAAAGAAUUUUUCAUAGAGUACCCUGGGUAUAAUGUUGACACUGAAGCCAAAGUCGCAGAGUGCUUCUAGAACGUCCACCAUGCCGAUGGAGAUCGGGAUGAUGGGGCGUCCUGGAUCGCCUCUCUUGACCGGCAGAUGGUUAGUAGAGAAUUCAUUGACGGGGUUACUCCAAUUACCUGCAUCAAACAUGUCUACAAGAUUUGCAGAUUCUAAUCCUUCCGGUUGUGAUGGUAUACCGGGGUUAGUAGUAGGAACAGCAGCAACUAUUUGAUUUAACUGGGAUUCAAUCAUUUUAUUAAAGCUAAUUUGAUUCUUGAUGGCAGUAGAGAAAUUAUCCAUUCUAUUAUUUAUAUUUUCUAGCAUUUUAUCAUUAGAUGCCAAUUUCUUAGAUAGAUUAUCCAUUAGCUUUCCUUGAUUAGACAUAACUCUCUCAAAGGUGGAAAAUUAUUAGUAUUGUUAUAAGAAUUGUUACCUUGAUUUUGUUGAGGACGGUUGUAGUAGUAGUAGUUGUUGUUGUUGAUGUAGUUCACAUCCUCAAGUAUCUCAGGGCAGUGGUUGCCUAAGUGUCCAGUGUCUCCACACUCCUCGCAAGUCAUGUGAGAGUCGUAGAUGUGCAUAACUUCUUUCUUGUCUCCAGCUCUAUCGUCGAGCUUCUUCAUGAGCAGGUCUAGCUUUGCAGACAGCAUGUCUACCUCCUUCAGCUGAUGCAUACCUCCACCUCUCUUGCGUGUCUGGGUCCUCUCUUCAUUCCAGCUUUGAUUGGAUGCCAUCUUCUCCACAAGAGCUGUGGCUUGUGGUAUAGUAAGUGAUUAGAAUGCUCCUCCAGCUGCAGCAUCCAUGGUCUCUCGGGCACUGUUGCCGAGCCCAUGAUAAAAUGUCUGCAUCAAUAGCCAACUCUCCAUUGCAUGAUGGGGACAUUCUAGGAUGUAGUCUUGAAAGCGCUCCCAUGCUUCUGGAACAGAUUCAUCAUUUUGUUGCUGAAAACUUGUAAUCUUCCCACGGAGAGCAUUGGUCUUGCCCAUGGGAAAGAACUUUGCCAGGAAGUUUGUUGAGCAGAGUGCCCACAUAGUAUUCUUCUCCUUUGUAGCGUAAAACCACUGCUUCGCUCAUCCUAACAGUGAGAAUGGGAAGAGGCGAAGUAGUAUAGCGUCUUUGGAAACUCCUGCUAUGGUGAAUGUGUUGCAAAUCUCUAGGAAGUGUUGUAAAUGAGCACUAGCAUCUUCGUGUGCCUUCCCACAGAACUAGUUGGAUUGCACCAUGUUGAUAAGUCCAGGCUUGAGCUCAAAGUUGCCAUCGAUCUCUGCAGCAGGUCCAGUGCGGAUGUUGUCCGUAGUGGGAGCUGAGAACUCGCGGAUCGAUUUGUUCGCCAUGGCUUCGAACUCUGAAGACAAGUUCCGGUGAUCUUCUUGAUUGGAUGAAGCUUCUUGCUGAAGUGUUGAUGAUUUCUUUAGCUUGGCUCUAGUCUUCUUGAAUAAUGCUUCAGGAUCGUCAACAAAAUUCCCUGGAAGAUGUCUUCUAUUCAUACAUUCCCCUGCAAAAGACAAAAUAGAAAAAUAUCGGGGUAAAACUGUAUGAGAGAAUAGAUAAGCUCAAUCAUAUUAGUGAUGCGAAUGAUAACUCAAAAUCUUUUAUUCCAUUCCUGAUUAGUAAUCAACCUUCCCCGGCAACGGCGCCAAAAAUGCUUGUUGGGUAUUCUUAACAUCAUUACCAAAAGUAGACUAAGUUCUAAAUCUAGCAACGGUGCCAAAAAUACCAAACCUAUCCCUCACAACACUUAAGCCAAGUUGUCAUCCCCAGCAUGACAUGAGAGACGCGGUAUUGAAAUAUGUAAUUGCUCUUCUAAAUAAAUAAUGAAUGGGAUCUGCAAGCGCACAGAUUAAUACCGAUGCAGCAUUUUAACCGGGAAGUAUUCCAGGUAUCGUUAUUUAUAUUUUUACCACUGGGAAGGGAUUAGAAAUCAUCACUAAUGAUUACAGAAUAGAAUAUGAGAUUGAGCAUCUAUCAUUGCAUGUAUAAUUGAGAACAUUAUAUCUAACUCAUCAUACAGGGAUAAGUGUCACAUAAAAGAUAUAUGAAAUAAUAAUAGUGACAAGGAUAACUAAUCUGAUCUAGCCACAUAAUAAAUAUGAUAAGCACCUCAAUUAGAUACUCUAGAAAGUCAUUAGCAUGGUAUUAGAACGAACUACAAGAAUAUUCCCUAAGUUAUUCUUAACUAUAUAUUCUAGCAUAUCAUAGUUAGUGCAAGCAUACUUAGCAAUCAUUGCAAGACAAGACUACGCCCAUGCAUAGUGAUAUUAGCAAGGAAUAUGAGAAACAUAGCAAUCACACCCCUGUAAUAAUGUUGCUCUGCUAGCCCAAAACACGAGAGGGGGACUAUAUAAGAAUCAAUGAAACUGUCACUAUCACGAACCACCACACGAUCUGGCAUAUUGGGUACAAUCGCAGAUAAAUACGGUAUAAGCACCACGCCUACACAAUAUCUAUCAUUUACCCAUGGAUCUGAUGGAUAAACGCUAUACGAUCCUAAGCAUGUAUAUAGAUCGAAUCUAACUAAGCCAAGUACAUAACUAUGAUAAACUAAGAACAAUAUAAUCUUGAAUAUAAGCAAGUAGAGCAAAGUCAUAAGCAAUAUAUUGAAGUAGAACAAAGUCAUAUUCAUAAUAUUGAAGAACAAAGAUAAUUAGAAAGCAAUUAGAAGCACAAUUAGAGAAUUACCAAGAAUCCUCCUGACAGAUCCAGAAACCAAUCGAAGAUUGACUCCUUCUAGUUCUAAUCCUAUGUAGCUAUGCUAAUCUAGAUAUCUAAUUGAUGUGGUGGCUCUAAUCUUGAUUAGAGGCUUCUUCUCCCUUGAUGGAACAAUGAAUUAGGGUUGAGAGGCUCUCUCCUCCAGGGGCCAGGGGGUCUGGUUUUAUAGUCCCUCCAAGUGAAUAUGGGCCCUUGGAUCAAACCGACAUAGAUUGUAUGGUUUAGAUUCAUCCUUUAGGUCGGUGGAGAUCUCCCGCAAAGCAGAGUCCUGAUUGGACACAGGAGGUGGGCGGGCGCCCAGGGCAGGAUGGCGGGCGCCCUGCCUCUGGCCCCGUUUCGCCUCCGCUUCGGUCUCGUGGCUUCUGGAGUCUUCUAGAUGUAAGAUAAUUGCGCGGCACGUUAAUAUCUCUAUGUAAUCCCGACGUGUGGGCCUUUCUUCCAUAUUUCCUGAUAACCCCCUGCAGAAAUAGACAAACACCAAAACUCGUGGAAUUCUAUCAGAUAAAACCCUAAGUCUAGAUCUUGAUUUCAUUUGGAUCCUUUUCUUUAUUUAUUUGAUAAUUAAAUUUGAUACUUAAGGACCGUCAACAACAAAGGUCAUACUGGAAAGCUACACAUUUCUUUUGGAAAAACUUUUAAAUUCCCAAUAAUAAUUUCACACUCCUUAAACAAUAAGGCCGAGUCAUAUCUUUUGCCUGAUCCUAUGGAGGAGGUAAAGGCUGCAUCUCUUGAGCUUUUAGAAGAAUCAGACUUAGAAGACGAAACUCCUUUCUUCACAGAAGAAGAAGACGAACCUUCUGAGCCUGAACCUUUAGAUGAGUUUGCAGAAACACCUAGACCCCCCAUAGAGAUUAAAACUUUACCACCCGGUCUUACCUAUGCUUUCCUAAACAAUAAUCCAGAGUUCCCUGUGAUCAUUAGCGACAAACUCACUCAGGAUCAAACUCUGCGAUUAAUGACCAUUCUUGAGAAACAUCACUCAGUUUUUGGCUACUCACUCCAAGAUCUUACAGGAAUCAGUCCUAUGAUUUGUACCCAUCGUAUUCCAACAGAUCCUUCUGUUACACCCUCUCGAGAACCCCAACAUAGACUUAACAACACUAUGAGAGAGGUAGUUAAAAAGGAAGUUAUAAAGUUGCUGCAUGCAGGGAUUAUAUAUCCUGUGCCACACAGUGAGUGGGUGAGCCCAGUCCAAGUUGUGCCUAAAAAGGGAGGCAUGACUGUUAUUAUGAAUGAAAAGAACGAGCUAAUUCCGCAACGCACCGUCACAGGAUGGCGGAUGUGCAUAGACUAUAGAAAACUAAACAAAGCCACGAGAAAGGAUCACUUUCCUUUGCCUUUUAUAGAUGAGAUGCUAGAGCGGUUAGCAAACCAUUCGUUCUUCUGUUUCUUAGAUGGAUAUUCAGGGUAUCAUCAAAUCCCGAUCCAUCCUGAUGAUCAAAGCAAAACCACUUUUACAUGCCCUUAUGGAACUUAUGCUUACCGUAGAAUGUCUUUUGGGUUAUGUAAUGCACCAGCUUCUUUUCAAAGAUGCAUGAUGUCUAUAUUUUCUGAAAUGAUUGAAGAGAUUAUGAAAGUUUUCAUGGAUGAUUUCUCUGUUUAUGGAAAAACUUUUGAUAGUUGUCUUGAAAACUUAGAUAAGGUUUUGCAAAGAUGUGAAGAAAAGCACUUAAUCCUUAAUUGGGAAAAAUGUCAUUUUAUGGUUAGGGAAGGAAUAGUGCUGGGACACUUAGUGUCUGAAAGGGGAAUUGAGGUAGACAAAGCUAAAAUUGAAGUAAUUGAACAACUACCUCCACCUGUGAAUAUAAAAGGAAUUCAAAGCUUUCUUGGCCAUGCUGGUUUUUAACGUAGAUUCAUAAAAGAUUUUUAAUUUAUUGCUAGACCACUUACUCUUUUGCUAGCCAAGGAUGCUCCUUUCGAAUUUAAUGAUGCAUGUCUAACAUCUUUCAAUUUAUUAAAGAAAGCACUCAUCUCUGCACCAAUCAUUCAACCCCCUGAUUGGUCGUUGCCUUUUGAAAUUAUGUGUGAUGCUAGUGAUUAUGCUGUGGGGGCAGUAUUGGGACAAACUAAAGAUAAGAAGCAUCAUGCAAUUGCUUAUGCCAGUAAAACUUUGACAGGAGCUCAACUUAACUAUGCAACCACUGAAAAAGAGCUUCUGGCUGUUGUCUUUGCCAUUGAUAAAUUUAGAUCUUAUUUAGUUUGAGCUAAAAUAAUUGUUUACACUGAUCAUGCUGCAUUAAAAUAUUUGCUCACUAAAAAAGAUGCUAAACCUCGCCUGAUUAGAUGGAUUUUAUUACUCCAAGAAUUUGACUUAGAAAUAAAAGAUAAAAAAGGAGUAGAAAAUUCUGUUGCUGAUCACUUGUCUAGAAUGUAUUUUAAGAGUCCACAGGAAACCCCCAUCAAUGAUUCACUUCGGGACGACAUGCUCUACGGGAUUAACAGGUCUGACCCCUGGUAUGCAGAUAUUGUUAAUUUUAUGGUUUCAGGGUAUGUACCACCAGGAGCAAACAAGAAGAAGCUUAUUCAAGAAAGUUGUUCACAUAUAUGGGAUGAGCCAUACCUCUUCCGAGUACGCUCUGAUGGCUUACUCAGGAGAUGUGUGACCACUGAGGAAGGAUGGAAGAUCAUCGACAGAUGUCAUUCGUCACCAUAUGGAGGUCACUAUGGAGCAUUCCGUACACAUUCAAAAAUCUGGCAGUGUGGAUUCUAUUGGCCUACAAUGUAUGAAGACACAAGGCAAUAUAUCAGAAGAUGUGGGCCAUGUCAAAGACACAGAAACAUAAAUACAAGGGAUGCAAUGCCACUCACCAACAACCUUCAGAUUGAGCUCUUUGAUGUCUGGCGAAUAGACUACAUGGGUCCAUUUCCUCCAUCAAAGAAGUGUGAGUACAUCUUGGUGGCAGUUGACUAUGUCUCCAAGUGGGUAGAAGCAUUACCUUGCAAGCAUGCCGACAACGUCAGUUCAAAGAGGAUGUUCGAAGAAAUUAUAUUUCCAAGAUUUGGAGUCCCCAGAGUAGUGAUAAGUGAUGGAGGAGCACACUUCAUCGACAAAGGCUUCAAGCAAUAUCUAUCGAGACAUGGAAUCCGUCACAACGUCGCUACCCCCUAUCAUCCUCAGACAAGUGGCCAAGCAGAGACUUCCAACAAACAAAUCAAGAAUAUUCUUCAGAAGACAGUAAAUGAAAUGGGAACGGCAUGGAAAGACAAGUUACCCGAUGCACUCUGGGCAUACCGGACAGCAUACAAGACCCCAAUUGGAAUGUCUCCAUACCAAUUGGUGUACGGGAAGACUUGCCAUCUACCUGUUGAACUAGAAUUCAAAGCACACAGGGUCAUAAAGAGAUGGAAUAUGGACCAAGAUGUUGCUGGAGAUUAUAGAAGAAUGCAACUAUCAGAAUUGGAAGAAUGGCGAGAGAAGGCACAUCACAAUUCAAAGAUCUACAAAGAAAGAGUCAAGAGGUGGCAUGACAAGAGAAUCAAGAAGAAGGAGUUCACACCCGGAGAUAAGGUAUUACUUUUUAAUUCCAGGGUGAAGCUUUUCGGGCAUGGAAAACUCCGGAGCAAAUGGGAAGGACCAUUCAAGGUAAUCAAUUCAACAUCCCACGGAGCUAUCACACUUCAAAAUAGUGAAGGUACGUUAUUCAAGGUAAAUGGUCAACGUCUUAAAUUAUUUUUAGAGCCCAAUGAGGAAUUUGAAGAAAUAGACGUAGUCCAUUUUUACCUUCCCAUGGAGAAUUAGAGCCCGACACUUUUGGUCUGAUGGUUUUGGGUCAUAUAUAUAUUUUUCUUAAUAAUUCCGCAUCUAGAAACGCGCUCGGAGAAGUGGGCCCACAGAGGGGCCAGAAAGAGGGCGGGCGCCCAGCUCAGGUGGGCGGGCGCCCGGCUCCUGUUCCCCCUCGGUCCCGACUUUCUCUGUUAUGGAAAAUGCACUUAGGGUGAUCCGAAUAAUCCCUCGGAUGGAAAGUUUCGCACACACGUCGACGGGAGCAAGCCGAACAACCCAUAGAGGCACCCUUUUGACCCCUAUAUAAACAGACCCCUGACCUCAGUUUUCAAACACCAAGCCACCAAGCUUUCUCUCCUUUAAUUAGAGCUUGAUUAGCUCUCCUUCAAUUAGAGCUUGAUUAGCUCUCCUUCAAUUAAAAUUUGAUUUGUUCCAAUGGCCGAGAAGUACCACGAUGAUUGGGAAGUUGUCCCCUUCAACCUCAACAUGGAGCCUGUGGAGGACCCCGAUGCCCGUGCUCUCGUCCCGGCCAACACAGAGCGUCAGCUAGAAGCCAUGCCAUUACGCCAACGCAGCUCCGCCCAAUCUUACCAUGCUCAACCAGUUCUCACCGCACCGCCACAACCCCUACUCCUCACAGGAUCAUCAUCCAAGACGAAGGCCACUAUCAAGGUGCCAAUCGGCACAAGGAUCCUUCCACCAAGACCCAAUGAGAGGGUCGUUGGAGUCAAGACCAACCGGAGCGGCGAGAUCAGCAGUGUUCGCUACACUACGGAGGAGGAAAGGCCUUACUUUGAAGGGAUUAGAGCAUCCAAAGUCCGUUUCAUCCCUCCAAAGGCAGCCCCGAAGCACGCUCUCAAUGCUUUUGAGACACCUCCCAAACGUCGCAAGACUAUAAUGGAUAUUGAUGAGGAAGUUCGUAGGCUAGAUAGAGUUAUCAUAGAUCUCCAGUCCUCGAUUAAUUCCCUCACUGGGCAGCUCUCUAACCACAACACCAUUAUACUAGGCCUUAGGCAGGAUCUUGCCAGUGCCAACAAGAAGAUCAAAGAAUUAGAGCGCCGCUAAGUUAUCUAGAUUAGACCUUGAGGCAAUGCAUCUUAGUCAUCUAUCUUUAAAUUCAGUUUAAGUUUGCUAUUAUCAGUUUACUAUCAGUUUGCUAUCAGUCUUUUGUAAUAAAUGCCUCAAGAUCAAUAAAGAUUAUUAUUAUUAUUAUUAUGUCUUGUGUGUCUCUACUUUAUUUUUGUGCAAGAAAGCAGAAAACAAGUAUGGGGGAGAUCCCUCAACAUGCCAAACACACUCCGACUGCACCACUCCAUGAUUUAGGUACACACUCUGCACACUUUACACAUACAUUUAUUUUGGAUUAUGCAGAUUACUGUUUCCGACAUGAUAAAAUAAAAAGAUUAAAAUAUUUCUAAUCAUGAUUAAUCUCAAUCUGUGAUAUUUCGUGAAAACUUGCAAUUAUUAUAAAAUUAUUUUAAAACCCUGUGUUACUUAAGUCAAUAUGGAAUAUGUGAUGGUAGAGUAUGAGUUUCUUAUUCUUGAUAUCAUUGUUACUUGGAGAAUUUAUUUCAAAAUAUUCAAAAUUCUAGCUACCAUCCUCAGUGUUUUAUAUGCCUGAUAAAACUGAAAAUAUUAAUUAUGAUUAUAAAAGCUAUUUGCUCUGUAUUGAGUUUGUUCAAAAUGAGUUAGACCCUUGUUGAGAGAUUUAUCAUGCUCCCAAGAUCAAGACAUUUAUUUCAGUAAGAUUCACUCUUCCGAAGUAUUAUUGCAUUAGAGGCAUGGGCUAUGCAAAAAUAGAGAUAUUUCGAGGAAAUAUAAAAGAGCAAGUGCUCGACAACCUCGCAGAAUAAAUGGACAAGUGUCCGGCAGUAGAAUUAGGGGUACCUCAGUAUCCACUUAAAAAAAAGAGAAAAGAGAAAAAAAAAUGAUAGCCCAUGGUCCCUCUAAUAAGCAAUAUGCCAGCAAGAGUUGACAAAGAUUUUAAUUUCCAAAGUCUUUGAUCUAAGAGUAUGACAUUCCCCUCCUCGGAUCCUGUUUUAAUCAGGCAAUAAAUGCAAAGUAAGAAUGCUUUAGAAUUUUUGCAAAAAUAAAACAGCCUCAGUGAGAUAUAUAUAUAAAAGAUAAUGAGUGAUUUGAGAGAACCUGUGAGGAUCAAAAGGUAUGCUAACUUUCUUUCAAAAAUAUACAAAAACUCCAAGUGAUAGGAUUGAGAAGAAAGGAUCUUUACUCUUGAUCAUAAACUUCCCUGACUAUGGUACACAGUGGAUUUGUAACACCCUGCAAUUAUAUAGAGAAUGCUUUAAAAUGUUUACCCUAGAUAUUUUUCUUAACCAUCCUUUUCUCGAGGACGAGUAAAAGCCUAAGUAUGGGGGUAUUUGUUGACGGUUCUUAAGUAUCAAUUUUAAUUAUCAAAUAAACAAGAGAAAGGACCAAUAUGCAACCAACACCUAGAAUUAGGGUUUGAUCUGACAGAAUUCCACGAGUUUUGUUGUUUAUCUGUUUCUGUAGGGGGUUAUCAGGAAAUAAGGAAGAAAGGCCCACAUGUCGGGAUUACAUAGAGAUAUCAACACACCGUGCAAUUUUCUACCAUCUAGAAUAUUCCAGAAGCCACGAGACCGAAGCGGAGGCGAAACGGGGCCAGGCCCAGGGCGCCCGCCCUGGUGACCUGGGCGCCCGCCCCCCUCUGGAGCCAGAUCAGGACUCUCUUCGCUCGGGAUACUCCACCGACCUAUUGGAUCAAGAAAAACAUAGUACCACCUCGCCUAUCGACCCAAAAACGCAUAGAAGGGGAGGACUAUAUAAGGAGACCCCUGGCCCCUGGAGAAGACAUGAAGAAAUUAUCGUAGAGACUGAGGGGUGCCCUCGAAGGAAAACCUCUUCUCUAAUUAAUAUUUCUUUUUAGGCUUAGCAACCAAUGUAAGGUAGAAAUAGAUCUUCUAGUUUCUACUAGAUUGAGAGAGAUCGAGUGGAGGUGUAGAGUGGAGGAAGCCCGGCCUGUCGGUGUAUACUCCAAGCUUGUACCUGCGGGAUCAAGUUCUCCUAACCCGAAGCUUGCUCCUAGGAUUCUUCAGUAAUUCGACUUCUAAAUUUUAGUCAGGAAUAGAAUUUCAAAUCAUAGAUUUUGGAUCAUUAAUGUAUAUGGACCUGCAAAUCAUGAAUUUUCAGUUAGCUUCAUUCAGGAGUUGGGUUGUUUUUGCUCUAAUAUUGAUCUGCCUAUCUUAUUGGGGGGAGACUUCAAUCUGAUUAGGAAUAACAGGGAGAGAAAUCAGGGUGCUGGGGACCAAAGAUUAAUGGACCUCUUCAAUGAUUUUAUUGGGAGUUUUCAACUGAGAGAAAUUUUUUGUUCUGGUAAUCGUUUUACUUGGUCCAACAAACAAAAAAACCCAACAUUAGUGAAGUUAGAUAGGGUUCUCUCGACUACCAGCUGGGAAAAUUUUUACCCCACUUGCUUUGCAUGGACUAAGACAAGAAUAGGUUCAGAUCAUUGCCCUAUUAUUCUCAAUACUGGGGAACAAGGGGAGUCCAGACCUCGCUAUUUUUAUUUUGAUGAGCAAUGGUUGCAGAGGGAGGGUUUCUCUAACAUGGUUCGGGAAAGGUGGGAUUUUUUUAACACUGGGCAAGACUACUCCUUGGAUAGGUGGCAUGGUUGCCUCCAGUCCAUGAGGAAAUACCUAAGGGGUUGGAAUUUACAGUUGAUUGGGAUUCAGAAAAGGGAAAAAGAAGCCAUGAUCCAAAGAAUUAAAGAUUUGGAUCACAUUGCUGAAUUCAGGCUUUUGACCUCCCAGGAAUGGGAGGAAAGAAUUGAAGUAGAGGAUAAUCUGGAGAGAUCAAAUAGAUCUGAGGAAAUCUACUGGAAACAGAGGGCAGGGAAUAAGUGGUUGUUAGAAGGGGAUGCUAACACACACUUCUUCCAUCAAUUUGCCAAUGGUAGAAGGAGGAAAAAUAUGAUCUCUUUCCUUGACUCUGAGGCUGGAGAGAUUAGGGGUCAGAAGGAGAUUACUGACCACAUUGUUGAGUUUUAUAAAACUCUUUUUGGUCCCAGUGGAGAUUGUGAUAUUGAUUUAAGAGGUACCUUUUGGCCUUUGGAUAUGAAACUUAGGGAUUCAGAAAAGGAGGACCUCAUUAAGUCAUUUGGGGAGGAAGAAGUCAAGGGAGUCGUGAUGGAGAUGAAGACCAAUGCAGCUCCAGGGCCUAAUGGGUUUAGUGUUACCUUCUUCCAAAAUUUUUGGGACACGAUUAAAAAAGAUAUGCUUGACAUGUUUUCUGACUUUUGGGGAAAUCGUCUUGAUAUAAAGAGAUUGAAUUUUGGAGUUAUCACUCUUAUUCCUAAAGUACAUGAAGCUAAUAGUAUUAAACAAUACAGACCUAUUUGUCUCCUGAAUGUGGAUUAUAAAUGCUUUACGAAAGUCCUGACUAAUCGAUUAAGUAGGGUGGCUCAGAGGGUGAUUGGAGAGAACCAAUCUGGUUUUGUUAGAGGGAGAAAUAUUUUGGAGGGUGUGGUGGUCCUACAUGAGGUAAUCCACGAGCUUUAUACUUCAAAAUAGAAAGGGCUAAUCCUAAAAAUUGACUUUGAAAAGGCCUAUGAUCGUGUGAGAUGGGAUUUUCUAGAAACAGUUAUGAUUAGGAGAGAAUUUCCUUCUCAGUGGGUUAACUGGGUUAUGAGCACAGUGAGAGGUGGUCAGGUUUGUAUCAAUGUGAAUGGAGAAAGGAGUGCUUAUUUUAAAACCUUCAGAGGUUUACGACAGGGGGAUCCUUUGUCUCCUUUGCUGUUCAAUCUUGUUGCAGAUGUUUUGGGGGUGUUUCUCAGGAAAGCUGUUGACAAGGGACACUUCAAAGGGGUUUUGAACCAUCUCUUGCCAGGGGGGAUUUCACAUAUCCAAUAUGCGGAUGACACGGUUAUAAUGACUGAUGGGUCUGACCAGUCUAUUCGGAAUCUUAAACUGAUCCUUUAUUGCUUUGAGUGGCUUACGGGGCUUAAGAUUAAUUAUCAUAAGAGUGAAGUCUAUGUCUUUGGGGUUCACCAAGAGGAGAGAGAACGUUUAGCUAACAUGUUGAACUGUGUGUUGGGAGAGUUGCCUAUGAAGUAUCUAGGCAUUCCUAUUAGCCACAAACAUUUGAACAUUAAGGCUUUCUCAUUCUUAGUCCAAAAAUUGAUCAAGAGACUGGACCCUUGGAAGGGUAAACACCUGACUUCUGGGGGGAGACAAAUCCUUACUAAUUCUUGCCUUAGCAGUAUCCCCUUAUACUGCAUGGGGUUUUACUGGUUACAGGAUGGGGUGCAUAAAAACAUGGAUAGUAUCAGGGCUAACUUUUUAUGGCAAGGGGCCGAAGACAAGUUCAGAUAUCACAUGGCUAAAUGGGAUAUGGUUUCCAGGCCUAAAGAUUUGGGGGUUUGGGAAUUAUUAAUACUAGAUUGAUGAAUGAUUGUUUGCUAGUUAAAUGGAUUUGGAAGAUCUUGCAAGAGCCUGAUGCUUUGUGGUUUAAACUCCUAAAAGCUAAAUACAUGGUAGGGGUUAAUUUCUUUUCUUCCAAAAACAAAGGGUGUUCCCAGUUUUGGCAAGGUUUGCAUAAAAUUAAGCAUCAGUUUAAAUGGGGGGCAACCUUUAAAGUGGGUAAUGGUAGGAACUGUCUGUUCUGGCAAGAUUGCUGGCUGAGGGAGGUUCCUCUUAAGAUUCAGUAUGAUGAUCUUUUCAGAAUGGUGAGAGAUCCUUACAGCACUGUUUCUGAUUGUUGGGUUGAUCAGGAUUGGUUUAUAGACUUCCAUAGAGCUCUUUCUUCUGAGGAGUUCGAGAGAUGGAAAGGGCUUUAUGAUGAGUUGCAACAUAUUUCGAUAAGUGACAAUCCUGAUGGUGUGUUCUGGGCUCUGGACAAAUCUAAAUCAUUCACAACCAAAUCCCUUUAUAGAUUCCUGUCCAACAGAGGCAUGCCUAGUAGGGUAGCUGGCAUAAUCUGGAAGUGCAAAAUCCCGUUAAAAAUAAAAUUUUUCCUUUGGCAACUUUUCAAUAACAAAUUGCAGGUUGGCCUUUCUUUGAUCAAACGUGGUUGGAAAGGGGAUGGUAGAUGUUGUGUUUGUAAUGUUUUUGAGAGUGUUAAUCACCUCUUCUUUGAUUGUCCCUUGGCAAGAAUGAUUUGGGCAAUCUUACGAGAGGCGUUUGACUUGGAAUCAGUGCCUAGAUCUUUAAACGAGCUGUUCGAAAAUUGGUUACAUGGCAAGGGGCCUUUACCUUCUCGGCUUAUCAUGUUUGUGUUUGCCGGUUUUGCCUGGACACUUUGGGUGACUAGAAAUAAGAUGGCUAUUGAAAAAGUGUUCCCUAAUAUGCCAUCUGAUGUAGUGUAUGGUGCUUUAUCCUUGUUACAGAAGUGGAUGAUUAUGCUUAAGGAAGACGAUAGAGGGAGGAUGUCUCAAGUGAAGGACAAGGUGAUUUGUUGGAUGCGAAGCUUCAAGACGAACAUGACGAUGCCAACUGAUGUUCAUGAGAUUUGAGUAGAGAAUCCAAACUGUUUUCAGAUUCUCUUUGUAUCUUUUUGCGCUUUGUUUGUCACUGGUUACCCCAGUAUGUACCCAAACUAUGUGCUUUCUUAAAAGCAGAGGUUUCCCCUCUUUAAAAAAAAAGUAAGUUCGUGUUUUAUUGUUCUUAUGGUUUAUGAGUUUACUUUAAUCUCUUCGCAUAGAGUUUAGAGUAAUCAUUGCUGGCGUAAACGUGGUGUUUAGGCUAGGGUACUCAUAGAUAUUCCCUGACUAGCUGGACCGUGGUAGUAGUGAGGAACGUGACAAUUCCGAGCUACCUUUGUAGAUCACAUCUCGUUAGCAGGAAGGAUAGGGUUUAUAGGUGCGGGUUGAACAUCCUUUGUGGUGUCUAGAUUCCGUUAGCCUCCCCAUUAGAAUAAUAGAUCAUCCUUACCAAGGUUAGAAGGAGACUACGGUUGCAGUCUUCUCUUUUUAUCACUCACAUCGAAAGACAUUCUUUGUGCCUAAAGGUUAGUAGUAAUAGACCGGUUAGUCAGAUGCACUCUUUCUCCUAGUGGUAAAAUAAAUAAAUACGAUACUCUGGAUAACCUCCCGGGUGAAGUGCUCACCGAUAUCCGUGCGCUUGCGGAUCAAUUCCUUAUUGUGUUCCCAAAUAUCAACAGGUACCCCUAAUUCUACUGCUGGACACUUGUCCAUUUUUUUCUGCGAGGUUGUCAAGCACUUGCUCCUUUUUAUUUCCUCGAAAUAUCUUUAUUUUUGCAUAGCCCAUGCCUCUAAUGCAAUAAUACUUCGGAAGAGUGAAUCUUUCUAAAUAAAUGUCUUGAUCUUAGGAGCAUGAUAAAUCUCUCAACAAGGGUCUAACUCAUUUUGAACAAACUCAAUACAUAGCAGAUAGUUUUUUAUAAUCAUAAUUAAUAUUUUCAGUUUUAUCGGGCAUAUAAAACGCUGAGGAUGGUAGCUAGAAUUUUUAAAAUAAAUUCUCCAAGCAACAAUGAUAUCAAGAAUAAGAAAUUCAUACUAUACCAUUUCACAUUCCAUAUUGACUUAAGUAGCACAGGGUUUUAAAAUGAUUUUCAAUAAUUGCAAGUUUCAAGGAAUAUCACAGAGUGAGAUUAAUCAUGAUUAGAAAUAUUUCAAUCUUUUUAAUUUAUCAUGUCGGAAACAAUAUUCUGCAUAAUCUAAGAUAUAUAUAUGAGUAUGUGUAAAGUAAGUGUACAGACUGUGUACCUAAAUCGUGGAGUGGUGUAGUUGAAGUGUGUUUGGCAUGUCGAGGGAUCUCCCCCAUACUUGUUUUCUACUUUCUUGCACAAGAAUAAAGUAGAGAUACACAAGACAUAAUAGUAAUAAUAAUAAUACUCUUUAUUAAUCUUGAGGCAUUUAUUACAAAUGACUAGUAGCAAACUGACGAUAAUAGUAGCAAACUGACGAUAAUAGUAAACCUAAACCGAAUUUAAAGAUAGAGAACUAAGAUGCAUUGCCUCAAGGUCUAAUCUAGAUAACUCAGUGGCGCUCUAAUUCCUUGAUCUUCUUAUUGGCACUAGCAAGAUCAUGCCUAAGGCCUAAUAUAAUGGUGUUGUGGUUAGAGAGCUGCCUAGUGAGGGAAUUAAUCGAGGACUGGAGGUCUAUGAUAACUCUGUCUAGCCUGCGAACGUCCUCAUCAAUAUCUACUAUAGUCUUGCGACGCUUGGGAGGUGUCUCAAAAGCAUUGAGAGCGUGCUUCAGGGCUGCCUUUGGAGGGAUGAAACAGACUUUGGCUGCUCUAACCCCUUCAAAGUAAGGUCUUUCCUCCUCCGUAGUGUAGCAUAUGCUGCUGAUCUCGCCGCUCCGGUUGGUCUUGACUCCAACGACCCUCUCAUUGGGUCUAGGUGGAAGGAUCCUCGUGUCGGUUAGCACCUUGAUAGUGGUCUUCGUCUUGGAUGAUGUUCCCUUGAGGAGUAGGGGUUGUGGUGGUGCGGUGAGAACUGGUUGAGCAUGAUAGGAUUGGGCAGAGCUACGCUGGUGUAAUGGCAUGGCUUCUAGCUGUCGCUCUGUGUUGGCCGGGAUGAGAUAACGGGCGUCGGGGUCUUCCUUAGGCUCCAUGUUGAGGUUGAAGGGGACAACUUCCCAAUCAUCGUGGAACUUCUCGGCCAUUGGAGGAGCGAGGGGCUAAACAAGCUCUAAUUGAAGAAGAAGAAGAGAAGGCUUGGUGGAUUAGUGUUUGAAAACUGAUGUCAGGGUCAGUUUAUAUAGGGGUCAAAAAUUGCCUCUAGGGGUUUGUUCUGGUUGCUCCCGUCGAUGUGCGUGCGAAACUUUCCAUCUGAGGGAUUAUUCGGAUUACCAUAAUUGUAUUUUCCUUAAUAGAGAAAAUUGGGACCGAGGGGAAACAGGAGCUGGGCGCCCGCCCGCUUGAUCAGGGCGCCCGCCCUCUCUCUGGCUCCUCUGUGGGCCCGCUUUCUCGAGCGUGUUUCUAGAUGCAGAACUAAUUAGGUAACUAUAUGUAUGACCCAAAAACGGUAGAUUAAAAAGGUCAGGCUCUAAAUCUCCAUGGGAAGUUAAAAAUGGACUAUGUCUAUUUCUUAUAAUUCUUUAUUGGGCUCUAAAAACAAUUUAAGACGUUGACCAUUUACCUUGAAUAACGUACCUUCGUCAUUUUGAAGUGUGAUAGCUCCAUGGGAUGAUGAAUUAAUCACCUUGAAUGGUCUUUCCCAUUUGCUCCAGAGUUUUCCAUGCCCGAAAAGCUUCACCCUGGAAUUAAAAACUAAUACCUUAUCUCCGGGUGCGAACUCCUUCUUCUUGAUCCUCUUGUCAUGCCACCUUUUGACUCUUUCUUUGUAGAUCUUCGAAUUGUGAUAUGCUUUCUCUCGCCAUUCUUCCAAUUCUGAUAGUUGCAUUCUUCUAUGAUCUCCAGCGACAUCGAGCUCCAUAUUCCAUCUCUUUAUGGCCGAGUGUGCUUUGAACUCUAGUUCAACAGGUAGGUGGCAAGUCUUCCCGUACACCAAUUGGUAUGGGGACAUUCCAAUUGGGGUCUUGUAUGCUGUCCGGUAUGCCCAGAGUGCAUCGGGUAACUUAUCUUUCCAUGCCGUUCCCAUUUCAUUUACUGUCUUCUGAAGAAUAUUCUUGAUUUGCUUAUUGGAAGUCUCUGCUUGGCCACUUGUCUGAGGAUGAUAGGGGGUAGCGACGUUGUGACGGAUUCCAUGUUUUGAUAGAUAUUGCUUGAAGCGUUUGUCGAUGAAGUAUGCUCGUCCAUCACUUAUCACUACUCUAGGGACUCCAAAUCCUGGAAAUAUAAUUUCUUCAAACAUCCUCUUUGAACUGAUGUUGUCGGCAUGCUUGCAAGGUAAUGCCUCUACCCACUUGGAGACGUAGUCAACUGCCACCAAGAUGUACUCACACUUCAUUGAUGGAGGAAAUAGACCCAUGUAGUCUAUUCCAUGAACAUCAAAGAGCUCAAUCUGAAGGUUGUUGGUGAGUGGCAUUGCAUCCCUUGUAUUUAUGUUUCCGUGCCUUUGAGAUGACCCACAUCUUCUGAUAUAUUGCUUCGUGUAUUCAUACAUUGUAGGCCAGUAGAAUCCACACUGCCAGAUCUUUGAAUGUGUACAGAAUGCUCCAUAGUGACCUCCAUAUGGUGAUGAAUGACAUCUAUCGAUAAUCUUCCAUCCUUCCUCAGCGGUCACACAUCUCCUGAGUAAGCCAUCACAACAUACUCGGAAGAGGUAUGGCUCAUCCCAUAUAUGUGAAUGACUUUCUUGAAUAAGCUUCUUCUUGUUUUCUCCUGGUGGUACAUACCCUGAAACCAUAAAAUUAACAAUAUCUGCAUACCAGAGGUCAGACCUGUUAAUCCCGUAGAGCAUGUCGUCCCGGAGUGAAUCAUUGAUGGGGGUUUCCUGUGGACUCUUAAAAUACAUUCUAGACAAGUGAUCAGCAACAGAAUUUUCUACUCCCUUUUUAUCUUUUAUUUCUAAGUCAAAUUCUUGGAGUAAUAAGAUCCAUCUAAUCAGGCGAGGUUUAGCAUCUUUUUUAGUGACCAAAUAUUUUAGUGCAGCAUGAUCAGUGUAAACAAUUAUUUUAGCUCCAACUAAAUAAGAUAUAAAUUUAUCAAUGGCAAAGACAACAGUCAGAAGCUCUUUUUCAGUGGUUGCAUAAUUAAAUUGAGCUCCUGUCAAAGUUUUACUGGCAUAAGCAAUUGCAUGAUGCUUCUUGUCUUUAGUUUGUCCCAAAACUGCCCCCACAGCAUAAUCAUUAGCAUCACACAUAAUUUCAAAAGGUAAUGACCAAUCAGGGGGUUGAAUGAUUGGUGCAGAGAUGAGUGCUUUCUUUAGUAAAUUGAAAGAUGUUAGACAUGCAUCAUCAAAUUCGAAAGGAGCAUCCUUGGCUAGCAAAAGAGUAAGUGGUCUAGCAAUGAAUGAAAAAUCUUUUAUGAAUCUACGAUAAAAACCAGCAUGGCCAAGAAAGCUUCGAAUUCCUUUUAUAUUCACAGGUGGAGGUAGUUGUUCAAUUACUUCAAUUUUAGCUUUGUCUACCUCAAUACCUCUUUCAGAUACUAGGUGUCCCAGCACUAUUCCUUCUGUAACCAUAAAAUGACAUUUUUCCCAAUUAAGGACUAAGUGCUUUUCUUCACAUCAUUGCAAAACCUUGUCUAAGUUUUCAAGACAACUAUCAAAAGUUUUUCCAUAAACAGAGAAAUCAUCCAUGAAAACUUCCACAAUCUCUUCAAUCAUAUCAGAAAAUAUAGACAUCAUGCAUCUUUGAAAAGAAGCUAGUGCAUUACAUAAACCAAAAGACAUUCUACGGUAAGCAUAAGUUCCAUAUGGGCAUGUAAAAGUGGUUUUGCUUUGAUCAUCAAGAUGGAUUGGGAUCUGGUGAUACCCUAAAUAUCCAUCUAAGAAACAGAAGAACGAAUGGUUCGCUAAUCCCUCUAGCAUCUCAUCUAUGAAAGGUAAAGGAAAAUGAUCCUUUCUCGUGGCUUUGUUUAGUUUUCUAUAGUCUAUGCACAUCCGCCAUUCUUUGACGGUGCGUUGCGGAAUUAGCUCGUUCUUUUCAUUCAUAAUAACAAUCAUGCCUCCCUUUUUAGGCACAACUUGAACUGGGCUUACCCACUCACUAUGCGGCACAGGAUAUAUAAUCCCUACAUGCAGCAACUUUAUAACUUCCUUUUUAACUACCUCUCUCAUAGUGUUGUUAAGUCUACGUUGGGGCUCUCGAGAAGGAGAAACAGAAGGAUCUGUUGGAAUACGAUGGGUACAAAUCAUAGGACUGAUUCCUGUAAGAUCUUGGAGUGAGUAGCCGAAAACUGAGUGAUGUUUCUCAAGAAUGGUCAUUAAUCACAGAGUUUGAUCCUGAGUGAGUUUAUCACUAAUGAUCACAGGAAACUCUGGAUUAUUGUUUAGGAAAGCGUAGAUAAGACCGGGUGGUAAAGUCUUAAGCUCUAUGGGAGUUCUAGGUGUUUCUGCAAACUCAUCUAAGGGUUCAGGUUCAGAAGGUUUAGCUUCUUCUUCUGUGAAGAAAGGAGUUUCGUCUUCUAAGUCUGGUUCAUCUAAAAGCUCUAGAGAUGCAGCCUUUACCUCCUCCAAAGGAUCAGGCAACAGAUAUGACUCGGCCUUAUUGUUUAAGGAGUGUGAAAUUGUUAUGGGAAUUUUAAAGGUUUUUCCAAAAGAAAUGUGUAGCUUUCUAGUAUGACCUUCAUAAAGGAGUCUUCUAAAAGGUUGUCCUAUCAACAGGUCGAAGUCCCAAGUAUCAAAGAUAUUGAAGUUCGAAUGAACCAUGGAGCCUUCCACCAUAAGAGGUAGGACAUUAAUAAUUCUAAGACUGGGGACUAAUUGUCCUGAAGAUUCCUUUAUGACCUUAGUUGUGGGGGUUAAAACAAGAUUUUUAAAUAACUUAAGUGCAAAAGAUUCAGACAUGAUGUUGAUCCCCACAACAGGAUUAUAGAGAGCAUCAAAUCGAACAGAAUCAUAAGCACAACGUAUAGUUAUAGAGGGUGUGUCCAUACGGAUUACAUCAGAGGAAAGCUCUGAUUCCUCCAACCACUCGCUACUCAUGACUGAGAUAAGCUCUCUUAAUUGAUAUUCACUUGGUAAAUAAAUGCUAAACUGGCCAUUUUGGGGUUUGUCGAUAGAAUGGUAGUUCGAAAUGUUUCCAAAAUCGGCAAAAAGAUCAAAUUCUAUAACCAGCAUGAAGUCCGGUGGUGGAAUUUCUUCAUUUUGUGGCUCAGAAAUUGGGAUAGCUAAAGUAGAUGAAGAAUUUGGCAGAGUGUCUACUUCGGCUACGUAGGUUUCAUCAUGAAGGGUAUUAUCCAUCUCAGCUUAUAGGAUUCUAUCUAGGAUCACACUAGCUUCAUCAGUAGGGAUGCGAAAGAAAGAACCUCUAGACAUUGUGUGUAGCAUUUGUUUAUCAUUUUUCUGAAGACCUCGAAAAAAGUGAAAUAAAAGAACAGGGUCUUCAAGAUUAAGGUUUGGACCAGAUUCUAAAAGAUCAGGAAAAACGUUUCUAGGAUUUUCCCAAAGUUUCAUUAUCUUUUUGUUUAAAAGAUAGGACUUCGAGUCUAAGGUCGCCGAUACGGUCGAGGGAAUAAAAAUCUAGACAAAAGUUAGCUCGUAAAACUCCCCAUUCACCUUGUUUUUGACUUACCUUCUGACUGUACCAUUGUCUAGCUUCUCCCCUUAAAGAAAAAGGAAAAAGCUUCCAACGUAAAGUUUUAUCAGAAAUGCCUUCAAUGCGAAGACAAUCACAUGUUUGCUCAAAAUCUCUAAUAUGAAGGUAAGGGUUUUCGUCUUCCUUUCCCGAAAAAGAUAGGUUUUGAAUCAUGGCAAUCAACCUAGAACUUAACCUAUACUGGGAUGUUUCGAUAGGCUAUGAUGACACCCAUGGUAAAAGGUCAGUUACUGAAGGGAUUGCAGAUUCAUGGAUCAAUUUAGAAUUUUGGUUUUCCAUAAGGUAAGAAUAAAGAAAAUAAGCAAAGAAUAUAAAAGAUAAGAAAAGAUAAAAGUAUAGAUACAAGCUAGUAGUAAGACUCAAGGUUAUCUCAGCAAACCGUCUUUCUCCCCGGCAACGACGCCAGAAAUGCUUAUUGAUAUUUGGAAACGCAAUAAGGAGUGGAUCCGCAAGCGCACGGAUAUCAGUGAGCACUUCACCCGGGAGGGUAUCCAGAGUAUCGUAUUUAUAUUUUUACCACUAGGAGAAAGAGUGCAUCUGACUAACCCGGUCUAUUACUAGUAACCCUUUAGGCAACAAAGAAUGUUUCUCGAUGUGAGUGAUAAAUAGAGAAGACUACAACCAUAAUCUCCUUCUAACCUUGGUAAGGAUGAUCUACUGUUCUAUUGGAGAGGCUAACGGAAUCUAGACACCCCAGAGGAUGUUCAACCCGCACCUAUAAACCCUAUCCUUCUUGCUAACCAGAUAUGGUCUACAAAGGUAACUCGGAAAUGUCACGUUCCUCGCUACUACCACGGUCCCGCUAGUCAAGGAAUAUCUAUGAGUACCCUAGCCUAAACACCACAUUUACGCUAGCAAUGAUUACUCUAAACUCUACGCGAAGAGAUUAAAGUAAACUCAUAAACCAAAAUAACAAUAAAACAAGAACUUACUAGAAUUUAGAAGUCGAAAUACUGAAGAAUCCUAGGAGCAAGCUUCGAGUUAGGAGAACUUGAUCCCGCAGGUACAAACUUGGAGUAGACACCAACAGGCUGGGCUUCCUCCGAUCUACACCUUCACUCUAUCUCUCUCUAUCUAGUAGAAACUAGAAGAUCUAUUUCUACUCACAUUGGUUGGUAAGCCUAAAAAGAAAUUUUAUUUAGAGAAGAGGUUUUCCUUCGAGGGCUCCCCUCAACUCUAUGAUAAACUUUUCUCCUCUAGGGGCCAGGGCUCUGGUUUUAUAGUCCCCUCAAGUGAACGUGAGCCGUUGGAUCAAACCAACAUUGAUUGGACGGUUAUCCUUGAUCCUUUAGGUCGGUGGAACGUCGUGUGCGAAAAGAGUCCUGAUUGGCAUCCCAUAGAGGGCGGGCGCCCAGGUCAACUGGGCGGGCGCCCAGGGCCUGGCUCCGUUCGGCCUCUGCUUCCUUCCCGUGGCUUCUGGAGUCUUCUAGAUGGUAGAAAAUUGCGCGGUGCGUUGAUAUCUCUAUGUAAUCCCAACAUGUGGGCCUUUCUUCCUUAUUUCCUGAUAACCCCCUGCAAAAACAGAUAAACAACAAAACUUGUGGAAUUCUGUCAAAUCAAACCCUAAUUCCAGGUGUUGUUUGUAUAUUGGUUCUUUCUCUUGUUUAUUUAAUAAUUAAAAUUGAUACUUGAGAACCGUCAACACAAGGCUAAAAACUAGAUACUUGCAAGGAAUUACGAUAGAGCAAGUAUUCAUCAUCUCCAUAUAGGAGUUUAUUCUAGAGGUUCAUUUUAACAAAUUCCUUAAGAUCUCUCGAUAGCUAGAAAAUUUAAUUAUGAAAGAUAAAAUAUUUAUUGGGUUUCUGAAGUUAUUUAUCUUUUUAUGUUGUCAUAACGCACUAGGAAUAAAUAGAUGAGUAAGUAAGAGAUACUUAGGUCAGUAUAUGGGGGAUGCUCUCCUCCAAGCUAGAUAUUGACAUAGUCUACUAAGAUUGCUGACGGGCAGUGAAGGCGUACUGAUCUUCCUGGAGUGUCGUGGGUACUUGCUGUCAGAAACAGCACUUGCCAGAUGUGGACAGUACUCUGAUAGGAGACAAGACGUCCUUCUGCGUGUUAAUUCUUCUUGAUCCUUUAAAGCCUGUGAAGCUUAAAUAGACAACAAAGCUUGUGGAACUGAUUAAGCAUUUGUAAUAAAUCUCUAAGCUUUGGGAGUCUAGAACUUUCUUAUACCCAUUUAUCUUUUAGCAGGAUCAAUGUAUUUUUAUGCUUUUUAAAUUAAUGGUAUGCAGACAAGGAAAUAAAUAUGCUAAAAAUAAUUUUUGUGACUCCAUAGUAGAUACGUAUGUGAGCUAUUGCAUCACAUAAUAAAUACAUGGGGCUUAGCAUUUUCUAGAUGCAAUACAAGACAUAUUUAUUUUCUUUUCUAAUGCAGCAAUAAAAAUAAAGAUGCAACUAUAUUUAUUUUCAUGGCGCGGUGUUUGGUGAUUUUAAGUCCUCCAAAUAGAACAUUCUUGAUUGCUCACUAAUCGAGGGGCGCAUCGGACGGCGCCACAGGUGCUAUGUCCUGUGCAGGAUUUAAUUCUAAAUUUACGUUAGGCAUCCAUACCUACCCUGGAUGAGAGAGUGUCUGGAAUUAUUAUCUCUUCUUCUGCUGGUACCUCCUCUUUGACGGUGUUCUCCUGAUCUAUGAAUCUUGAAACCACUCCUUCAUAGUCGGCCCAUCCAUCUACAACAUUCUUCUUCUUCUGGUGGCCGGUGUUGAUAUUUGGGAACGCAAUAAGGAAUUGAUCCGCAAGCGCACGGAUAUCGGUGAGCACUUCACCCGGGAAAUUAUCCAGAGUCUCGUAUUUAUUUUUUUACCACUAGGAGAAAGAGUGCAUCUGACUAACCGGUCUAUUACUACUAACCUUUAGGCACAAAGAAUGUCUUUCGAUGUGAGUGAUAAAUAGAGAAGACUGCAACCGUAGUCUUCUUCUAACCUUGGUAAGGAUGAUCUACUGUUCUAAUGGGGAGGCUAACGGAAUCUAGACACCACAAAGGAUGUUCAACCCGCACCUAUAAAACCUAUCCUUCCUGCUAACGAGAUGUGAUCUACAAAGGUAACUCGGAAUUGUCACGUUCCUCACUACUACCACGGUCCAGCUAGUCAGGGAAUAUCUAUGAGUACCCCAGCCUAAACACCACGUUUACGCCAGCAAUGAUUACUCUAAACUCUACGCGAAGAGAUUAAAGUAAACUCAUAAACCAUAAGAACAAUAAAACAAGAACUUACUAGAAUUUAGAAGUCGAAAUACUAAAGAAUCCUAGGAGCAAGCUUCGGGUUAGGAGAACUUGAUCCCGCAGGUACAAGCUUGGAGUAGACACCGACAGGCCGGGCUUCCUCCAAUCUACACCUCCACUCUAUCUCUCUCAAUCUAGUAGAAACUAGAAGAUCUAUUUCUACCUUACAUUGGUUGCUAAGCCUAAAAAGAAAUAUUAAUUAGAGAAGAGGUUUUCCUUCGAGGGCACCCCUCAGUCUCUAUGAUAAUUUCUUCAUGUCUUCUCCAGGGGCCAGGGGGUCUCCUUAUAUAGUCCUCCCCUUCUAUGCGUUUUUGGGUCGAUAGGCGAGGUGGUACUAUGUUUUUCUUGAUCCAAUAGGUCGGUGGAAUAUCCCGAGUGAAGAGAGUCCUGAAUCGAAUCCAGCAGGGGGCGGGCACCUAGGUCACCAGGGCGGGCGCCCUGGGCCUGGCCCCUUUCGGCCUCCGUCUUCUUCCCGUGGCUUCUGGAGUCUUCUAGAUGGUGUAAAAUCGCGCGGUGCGUUGAUAUCUCUAUGUAAUCCCGACAUGUGGGCCUUUCUUCCUUAUUUCCUGAUAACCCCCUGCAGAAACAGAUAAACAACAAAACUCGUGGAAUUCUGUCAGACCAAACCCUAAUUCUAGGUGUUGGUUGCAUAUUGGUCCUUUCUCUUGUUUAUUUGACAAUUAAAAUUGACACUUAAGACGGUUCUUAAGUAUAAAUUUUAAUUAUCAAAUAAACAAGAGANNNNNNNNNNNNNNNNNNNNNNNNNNNNNNNNNNNNNNNNNNNNNNNNNNNNNNNNNNNNNNNNNNNNNNNNNNNNNNNNNNNNNNNNNNNNNNNNNNNNCUACUGCUAAUCUUCGACUGGUUCGGGUAGGGAUUGAUCUGACAGAAUUCCACGAGUUUUGUUAUUUAUCUGUUUCUGCAGGGGGUUAUCAGGAAAUAAGGAAGAAAGGCCCACAUGUCGGGAUUCAUAGAGAUAUCAACGCACCGCGCAAUUUUACACCAUCUAGAAGAAUCCAGAAGCCACGAGACCGAAGCGGAGGCGAAACGGGGCCAGGCCCAGGGCGCCCGCCCUGAGGACCUGGGCGCCCGCCCCCCUCUGGAGCCCAAUCAGGACUCUCUUCGCUCGGGAUAUUCCACCGACCUAUUGGAUCAAGAAAAACAUAGUACCACCUCGCCUAUCGACCCAAAAACGCAUAGAAGGGGAGGACUAUAUAAGCAAGGCCCCCCUGGCCCCUGGAGAAGACAUGAAGAAAUUAUCAUAGAGACUGAGGGGUGCCCUCGAAGGAAAACCUCUUCUCUAAUUAAUAUUUCUUUUUAGGCUUAGCAAUCAAUGUAAGGUAGAUAUAGAUCUUUUAGUUUCUACUAGAUUGAGAGAGAUAGAGUGGAGGUGUGGAGUGGAGGAAGCCCGGCCUGUCGGUGUCUACUCCAAGCUUGUACCUGCGGGAUCAAGUUCUCCUAACCCGAAGCUUGCUCCUAGGAUUCUUCAGUAAUUCGACUUCUAAAUUCUAGUAAGUUCUUAUUUUAUUGUUCUUAUGGUUUAUGAGUUUACUUUAAUCUCUUCGCGUAGAUUUUAGAGUAAUCAUUGCUGGCGUAAACGUGGUGUUUAGGCUGGGGUACUCAUAGAUAUUCUCUGACUAGCUGGACCGUGGUAGUAGUGAGGAACGUGACAAUUCCGAGCUACCUUUGUAGAUCACAUCUCGUUAGCAGGAAGGAUAGGGUUUAUAGGUGCGGGUUGAACAUCUUUUGUGGUGUCUAGAUUCCGUUAGCCUCCCCAUUAGAACAGUAGAUCAUUCUUACCAAGGUUAGAAGGAGACUACGGUUGCAGUCUUCUCUAUUUAUCACUCACAUCGAAAGACAUUCUUUGUGCCUAAAGGUUAUUAGUAAUAGACCGGUUAGUCAGAUGCACUCUUUCUCCUAGUGGUAAAAAAAUAAAUACGAUACUCUGGAUAAUUUCCCGGGUGAAGUGCUCACCGAUAUCCGUGCGCCUACGGAUCAAUUCCUUAUUGCGUUCCCAAAUAUCAACAAGCAUUUCUGGCGCCGUUGCCGGGAGAAAGACGGUUGCUGAGAUAACCUGAGUCUUAGUAUUAGCUUGUAUCUAUACUUUUAUCUUUUCUUAUCUUUUAUAUUCUUCCUUUAUUUUCUUUAUUCUUACCUUAUGGAAAACCAAAAUUCUAAAUCGAUCAUGAGUCUGCAAUCCCUUUAGCAACUGACCUUUUACCAUGGGAAUCAUCACAGCCUAUCCAAACAUCCCAGUAUAAGUUAAGUUCUAGGUUUAUUGCCAUGAUUCAAAACCUAUCUUUUUCGGGAAAGGAAGACGAAAACCCUUACCUUCAUAUUAGAGAUUUUGAGCAAACAUGUGAUUGUCUUCGCAUUGAAGGCAUUUCUGAUAAGACUUUACGUUGGAAGCUUUUUCCUUUUUCUCUAAGGGGAGAAGCUAGACAAUGGUACAGUCAGAAGGUAAGUCAACAACAAGGUGAAUGGGGAGUUUUACGAGCCAACUUUUGUCUAGAUUUCUAUUCCCUUGACCGUAUAGCCGACCUUAGACUCGAAGACCUAUCUUUUAAACAAAAAGAUAAUGAAACUUUGGGAAAAUCCUGGAAACAUUUUUCUGAUCUUUUAGAAUCUGGUCCAAACCUUAAUCUUGAAGACCCUGUUCUUUUGUUUCACUUUUUUCGAGGUCUUCAUAAAAAUCACAAACAAAUGCUUCACACAAUGUCUAGAGGUUCUUUCUUUCGCAUCCCUGCUGAUGAAGCUAGAGUGAUCCUAGAUAGAAUCCUAGAAGCUGAGAUGGAUAAUACCCUUCAUGAUGAAACCUACGAAGCCGAAGUAGACACUCUGCCAAAUUCUUCAUCUACUUUAGCUAUUCCAAGUUUUGAGCCACAAGAGGAAGAAAUUCCACUACCGGACUUCAUGCUGGAUAUAGAAUCCGAUCUUUUUGCCGAUUUUGGAAAUAUUUCAAACUACCAUUCUAUUGACAAACCCCAAAACGGCCAGUUUAGCAUUUAUUUGCCAAGUGAAUUUCAAUUGAGAGAGCUUAUCUCAGUAAUGAGUAGCGAAUGGUUGGAGGAAUCAGAGCUUUCCUCUGAUGUAAUCCGUUUGGACACACCCUCUAUAACUAUACGCUGUGCUUAUAAUUCUGAUCGACUUAAUGCUCUUUAUAAUCCUGUUGUGGGGAUCAACAUCAUGUCUGAAUCUAUUGCACUUAAACUAUUUAAAAAUCUUGUCUUAACCCCCACAACAAAGGUCAUAAAGGAAUCUUCGGGACGAUUAGUCCCCAGUCUUGGAAUUAUUAAUGUCCUGCCUCUUACGGUAGAAGGCUCCAUGGUUCAUUUGAACUUCUAUAUCUUUGAUACAUGGGACAUCGACCUGUUGACAGGACAACCUUUUAGAAGACUCCUUUAUGAAGGUCAUACUGGAAAGCUACACAUUUCUUUUGGAAAAACCUUUAAAUUCCCAAUAAUAAUUUCACACUCCUUAAAUAAUAAGGCCGAGUCAUAUCUUUUGCCUGAUCCUAUGGAGGAAGUAAAGGCUGCAUCUCUAGAGCUUUUAGAUGAACCAGACUUAGAAGACGAAACUCCUUUCUUCACAGAAGAAGAAGACGAACCUUUCGAGCCUGAACCCUUAGAUGAGUUUGCAGAAACACCUAGACCCCCCAUAGAGCUUAAAACUGUACCACCCGGUCUUACCUAUGCUUUCCUAAACAAUAAUCCAGAGUUCCCUAUGAUCAUUAGCGAUAAACUCACUCAGGAUCAAACUCUGCGAUUAAUGACCAUUAUUGAGAAACAUCACUCAGUUUUCGGCUACUCACUUCAAGAUCUUACAGGAAUUAGUCCUAUGAUUUGUACCCAUCGUAUUCUAACAGAUCCUUCUGUUACACCCUCUCGAGAACCCCAACGUAGACUUAACAACACUAUGAGAGAGGUAGUUAAAAAGGAAGUUAUAAAGUGGCUGCAUGCAGGGAUUAUAUAUCCUGUGCCGCACAGUGAGUGGGUGAGCCCAGUCCAAGUUGUGCCUAAAAAGGGAGGCAUGACUGUUAUUAUGAAUGAAAAGAACGAGCUAAUUCCGCAACGCACCGUCACAGGAUGGCGGAUGUGCAUAGACUAUAGAAAACUACACAAAGCUACGAGAAAGGAUCACUUUCCUUUACCGUUCAUAGAUGAGAUGCUAGAGCGGUUAUUCAGGGUAUCAUCAAAUCCCGAUCCAUCCUAAUGAUCAAAGCAAAACCACUUUUACAUGCCCUUAUGGAACUUAUGCUUAUCAUAGAAUGUCUUUUGGGUUAUGUAAUGCACCAGCUUCUUUUCAAAGAUGCAUGAUGUCUAUAUUUUCUGAUAUGAUUGAAGAGAUUAUGGAAGUUUUCAUGGAUGAUUUCUCUGUUUAUGGAAAAACUUUUGAUAGUUGUCUUGAAAACUUAGACAAGGUUUUGCAAAGAUGUGAAGAAAAGCACUUAAUCCUUAAUUGGGAAAAAUGUCAUUUUAUGGUUAGGGAAGGAAUAGUGCUAGGACACUUAGUGUCUGAAAGAGGGAUUGAGGUAGACAAAGCUAAAAUUGAAGUAAUUGAACAACUACCUCCACCUGUAAACAUAAAAGGAAUUCGAAGCUUUCUUGGCCAUGCUGGUUUUUAUCGUAGAUUCAUAAAAGAUUUUUCAUUCAUUGCUAGACCACUUACUCUUUUGCUAGCCAGGGAUGCUCCUUUCGAAUUUGAUGAUGCAUGUCUAACAUCUUUCAAUUUAUUAAAGAAAGCACUCAUCUCUGCACCAAUCAUUCAACCCCCUGAUUGGUCGUUACCUUUUGAUAUUAUGUGUGAUGCUAGUAAUUAUGCUGUGGGGGUAGUAUUAGGACAAACUAAAGACAAGAAGCAUCAUGCAAUUGCUUAUGCCAGUAAAACUUUGACAGGAGCUCAACUUAACUAUGCAACCACUGAAAAAGAGCUUCUGGCUGUUGUCUUUGCCAUUGAUAAAUUUAGAUCUUAUUUAGUUGGAGCUAAAAUAAUUGUUUACACUGAUCAUGCUGCAUUAAAAUAUUUGCUCACUAAAAAAGAUGCUAAACCUCACCUGAUUAGAUGGAUCUUAUUACUCCAAGAAUUUGACUUAGAAAUAAAAGAUAAAAAGGGAGUAGAGAAUUCUGUUGCUGAUCACUUGUCUAUAAUGUAUUUUAAGAGUCCACAGGAAACCCCCAUCAAUGAUUCACUCCGGGACAACAUGCUCUACGGGAUUAACAGGUCUGACCCCUGGUAUGCAGAUAUUGUUAAUUUUAUGGUUUCAGGGUAUGUACCACCAGGAGCAAACAAGAAGAAGCCUAUUCAAGAAAGUCGUUCACAUAUAUGAGAUGAGCCAUACCUCUUCCGAGUAUGCUCUGAUGGCUUACUCAGGAGAUGUGUGACCACUGAGGAAGGAUGGAAGAUCAUUGACAGAUGUCAUUCGUCACCAUAUGGAGGUCACUAUGGAGCAUUCCGUACACAUUCAAAGAUCUGGCAGUGUGGAUUCUAUUGGCCUACAAUGUAUGAAGACACGAAGCAAUAUAUCAGAAGAUGUGGGCCAUGUCAAAGACACGGAAACAUAAAUACAAGGGAUGCAAUGCCACUCACCAACAACCUUCAGAUUGAGCUCUUUGAUGUCUGGGGAAUAGACUACAUGGGUCCAUUUCCUCCAUCAAAGAAGUGUGAGUACAUCUUGGUGGCAGUUGACUAUGUCUCCAAGUGGGUAGAAGCAUUACCUUGCAAGCAUGCCGACAACGUCAGUUCAAAGAGGAUGUCUGAAGAAAUUAUAUUUGCAAGAUUUGGAGUCCCCAGAGUAGUGAUAAGUGAUGGAGGAGCACACUUCAUCGACAAACGCUUCAAGCAAUAUCUAUCAAGACAUGGAAUCCGUCACAACGUCGCUACCCCCUAUCAUCCUCAGACAAGUGGCCAAGCAGAGACUUCCAACAAACAAAUCAAGAAUAUUCUUCAGAAGACAGUAAAUAAAAUGGGAAUGGCGUGGAAAGACAAGCCACCCGAUGCACUCUGGGCAUACCGGACAGCAUACAAGACCCCAAUCGGAAUGUCUCCAUACCAAUUGGUGUACGGGAAGACUUGCCAUCUACCUGUUGAACUAGAAUUCAAAGCACACUGGGCCAUAAAGAGAUGGAAUAUGGACCUAGAUGUUGCUGGAGAUUAUAGAAGAAUGCAACUAUCAGAAUUGGAAGAAUGGUGAGAGAAGGCAUAUCACAAUUCAAAGAUCUACAAAGAAAGAGUCAAGAGGUGGCAUGACAAGAUAAUCAAGAAGAAGGAGUUCACAUCCGGAGAUAAGGUAUUACUUUUUAAUUCCAGGGUGAAGCUUUUCGGGCAUGGAAAACUCCGGAGCAAAUGGGAAGGACCAUUCAAGGUAAUCAAUUCAUCAUCCCACGGUGCUAUCACACUUCAAAAUAGCGAAGGUACGUUAUUCAAGGUAAAUGGUCAGCGUCUUAAAUUAUUUUUAGAGCCCAAUGAGGAAUUUGAAGAAAUAGACGUAGUCCAUUUUUACCUUCCCAUGGAGAAUUAGAGCCCGACACUUUUGGUCUGAUGGUUUUGGGUCAUAUAUAUAUUUUUCUAAAUAAUUCCGCAUCUAGAAACGCGCUCGGAGAAGUGGGCCCACAGAGGGGCCAGAGAGAGGGCGGGCGCCCAGCCCCUGUUCCCCCUCGGUCCCGACUUUCUCUGUUAUGGAAAAUGCACUUAGGGUGAUCCGAAUAAUCCCUCGGAUAGAAAGUUUUGCACGCACGUCGACGGGAGCAACCCGAACAACCCAUAGAGGCACCCUUUUGACCCCUAUAUAAACAGACCCCUGACCUCAGUUUUCAAACACCAAGCCACCAAGCUUUCUCUCCUUCAAUUAGAGCUUGAUUAGCUCUCCUUCAAUUAAAAUUUGAUUUGUUCCUUGCUGCUCCAAUGGCCGAGAAGUACCACGAUGAUUGGGAAGUUGUCCCCUUCAACCUCAACAUGGAGCCUGUGGAAGACCCCGAUGCCCGUGCUCUCGUCCCGGCCAACACAGAGCGUCAGCUAGAAGCCAUGCCGUUACGCCAACGCAGCUCCGCCCAAUCUUACCAUGCUCAACCAGUUCUCACCGCACGGCCACAACCCCUACUCCUCACAGGAUCAUCAUCCUAGACGAAGACCACUAUCAAGGUGCCAAUCGGCACAAGGAUCCUUCCACCUAGACCUAAUGAGAGGGUCGUUGGAGUCAAGACCAAUCGGAGCGGCGAGAUCAGUAGUAUUCGCUACACUACGGAGGAGGAAAGGCCUUACUUCGAAGGGAUUAGAGCAGCCAAAGUCUGUUUCAUCCCUCCAAAGGCAGCCCCAAAGCACUCUCUCAAUGCUUUUGAGACACCUCCCAAGCGUCGCAAGACUAUAAUGGAUAUUGAUGAGGAAGUUCGCAGGCUAGAUAGAGUUAUCAUAGACCUCCAGUCCUCGAUUAAUUCCCUCACUAGGCAGCUCUCUAACCACAACACCAUUAUACUAGGCCUUAGGCAGGAUCUUGCCAGUGCCAACAAGAAGAUCAAAGAAUUAGAGCGCCGCUAAGUUAUCUAGAUUAGAGCUUGAGGCAAUGCAUCUUAGUCAUCUAUCUUUAAAUUCGGUUUAAGUUUGCUAAUAUCAGUUUACUAUCAGUUUGCUAUCAGUCUUUUGUAAUAAAUGCCUCAAGAUCAAUAAAGAGUAUUAUUAUUAUUAUUAUUAUUAUUAUUAUUAUUAUUAUUAUUAUUAUUAUUAUUAUUAUUAUUAUUAUUAUUAUUAUUAUUAUUAUUAUUAUUAUUAUUAUGUCUUGUGUGUCUCUACUUUUUUUUUGUGCAAGAAAGCAGAAAACAAGUAUGGGGGAGAUCCCUCGACAUGCCAAACACACUCCAACUACACCACUCCACGAUUCAGGUACACACUCUGCACACUUUAUGUUACACAUAUAUUUAUUUUGGAUUAUGCAGAUUACUGUUUCCGACAUGAUAAGAUAAAAAGAUUAAAAUAUUUCUAAUCAUGAUUAAUCUCAAUCUGUGAUAUUUCCGGAAAAAUUGCAAUUAUUAUAAAAUCAUUUUAAAACCCUGUGUUACUUAAGUCAAUAUGGAAUAUGUGAUGGUAGAGUAUGAGUUUCUUAUUCUUGAUAUCAUUGUUGCUUGGAGAAUUUAUUUCAAAAUAUUCAAAAUUCUAGCUACCAUCCUCAGUGUUUUAUAUGCCUGAUAAAACUGAAAAUAUUAAUUAUGAUUAUAAAAGCUAUCUGCUCUGUAUUGAGUUUGUUCAAAAUGAGUUAGACCCUUGUUGAGAGAUUUAUCAUGCUCCCAAGAUCAAGACAUUAUUUCAGUAAGAUUCACUCUUCCGAAGUAUUAUUGCAUUAGAGGCACGGGCUAUGCAAAAAUAGAGAUAUUUCGAGGAAAUAAAAAGGAGCAAGUGGUCGACAACCUCGCAGAAAAAAUGGACAAGUGUCCGGCAGUAGAAUUAGGGAUACCUCAGUAUCAACUUAAAAAAAAGAGAAAAGAGAAAAAAAUGAUAGCCCAUGGUCCCUCUAAUAAGCAAUAUGCCAGCAAGAGUUGACAAAGUUUUUAAUUUCCAAAGUCUUUGAUCUAAGAGUAUGACAUUCCCCUCCUCGGAUCCCGUUUUGAUCAGGCAAUAAAUGCAAAGUAAGAAUGCUUGAGAAUUUUUGCAAAAUAAAACAGCCUCAGUGAGAUAUAUAUAUAUAUAUAUAAGAUAAUGAGUGAUUUGAGAGAACCUAUGAGGAUCAAAAGGUAUGCUAACUUUCUUUCAAAAAUAUACAAAAACUCCAAGUGAUAGGAUUGAGAAGAAAGGAUCUUUACUCUUAACCAUAUACUUCCCUGACUAUGGUACACAGUGGAAUUUUAACACCCUGCAAUUAUAUAAAGAAUGUUUUUAAAAUGUUUACCCCAGAUAUUUUUCUUAACCAUCCUUUUCUCGAGGACGAGUAAAAGCCUAAGUAUGGAGGUAUUUGUUGACGGUUCUUAAGUAUCAAUUUUAAUUAUCAAAUAAACAAGAGAAAGGACGAAUAUGCAACCAACACCUAGAAUUAGGGUUUGAUCUGACAGAAUUCCACGAGUUUUGUUGUUUAUCUGUUUCUGCAGGGGGUUAUCAGGAAAUAAGGAAGAAAGGCCCACAUGUCGGGAUUACAUAGAGAUAUCAACGCACCGCGCAAUUUUACACCAUCUAGAAGACUCCAGAAGCCACGAGACCGAAGCGGAGGCGAAACGGGACCAGGCCCAGGGCACCCGCCCUGAGGACCUGGGCGCCCGCCCCCGUCUGGAGCCCAAUCAGGACUCUCUUCGCUCGGAAUAUUCCACCGACCUAUUGGAUCAAGAAAAACGUAGUACCACCUCGCCUAUCGACCCAAAAACGCAUAGAAGGGGAGGACUUAUAAGCAAGGCCCCCUGGCCCCUGGAGAAGACAUGAAGAAAUUAUCAUAGAGACUGAGGGGUGCCCUCGAAAGAAAACCUCUUCUCUAAUUAAUAUUUCUUUUUAGGCUUAGCAAUCAAUGUAAGGUAGAAAUAGAUCUUCUAGUUUCUACUAGAUUGAGAGAGAUAGAGUGGAGGUGUAGAGUGGAGGAAGCCCGGCCUGUCGGCGUCUACUCCAAGCUUGUACCUGCGGGAUCAAGUUCUCCUAACCCGAAGCUUGCUCCUAGGAUUCUUCAGUAAUUCAACUUCUAAAUUCUAGUAAGUUCUUGUUUUAUUGUUCUUAUGGUUUAUGAGUUUACUUUAAUCUCUUCGUGUAGAGUUUAGAGUAAUCAUUGUUGGCGUAAACGUGGUGUUUAGGCUGGGGUACUCAUAGAUAUUCCCUGACUAGCUGGACCGUGGUAGUAGUGAGGAACGUGACAAUUCUGAGCUACCUUUGUAGAUCACAUCUCGUUAGCAGGAAGGAUAGGGUUUAUAGGUGCGGGUUGAACAUCCUUUGUGGUGUCUAGAUUCCGUUAGCCUCCCCAUUAGAACAGUAGAUCAUCCUUACCAAGGUUAAAAGGAGACUACGGUUGCAGUCUUCUCUAUUUAUCACUCACAUCGAAAGACAUUCUUUGUGCCUAAAGGUUAGUAGUAAUAGACCGGUUAGUCAGAUGCACUCUUUCACCUAGUGGUAAAAAAAUAAAUACAAUACUCUAGAUAAUUUCCCGGGUGAAGUGCUCACUGAUAUCCGUGCGCUUGCGGAUCAAUUCCUUAUUGCGUUCCCAAAUAUCAACAAACAAAUACCCCCAUACUUAGGCUUUUACUCGUCCUCGAGAAAAGGAUGGUUAAGAAAAAUAUCUGGGGUAAACAUUUUAAAGCAUUCUCUAUAUAAUUGUAGGGUGUUAAAAAUGCACUGUGUACCAUAGUCAGGGAAGUUUAUGAUCAAGAGUAAAGAUCCUUUCUUCUCAAUCCUAUCACUUGGAGUUUUUGUAUAUUUUUUUGAAAGAAAGUUAGCAUACCUUUUUGAUCCUCAUAGGUUCUCUCGGAUCAGUCAUUAUCUUUUAUAUAUAUCUCACUGAGGCUGUUUUAUUUUGCAAAAAUUCUCCAGCAUUCUUACUUUGCAUUUAUUGCCUGAUCAAAACGGGAUCCGAGGAGGGGAAUGUCAUACUCUUAGAUCAAAGACUUUGGAAAUUAAAAUCUUUGUCAACUCUUGCUGGCAUAUUGCUUAUUAGAGAGACCAUGGGCUAUCAUUUUAUUUCUCUAUUCUCUCUUCUCUUUUUUUAACUGGAUACCGAGGUACCCCUAAUUCUACUGCUGGACACUUGCCCAUUUUUUUUCUGCGAGGUUGUCCAGCACUUGCUCCUUUUUAUUUCCUCGAAAUAUCUCUAUUUUUGCAUAGCCCAUGCCUCUAAUGCAAUAAUUCUUCGGAAGAGUGAAUCUUACUGAAAUAAUGUCUUGAUCUUGGGAGCAUGAUAAAUCUCUCAACAAGGGUCUAACUCAUUUUGAACAAACUCAAUAUAGAGCAGAUAGCUUUUAUAAUCAUAAUUAAUAUUUUCAGUUUUAUCAGGCAUAUAAAACACUGAGGAUGGUAGCUAGAAAUUUGAAUAUUUUGAAAUAAAUUCUCCAAGCAACAAUGAUAUCAAGAAUAAGAAACUCAUACUCUACCAUCACAUAUUCCAUAUUGACUUAAGUAACACAGGGUUUUAAAAUGAUUUUAUAAUAAUUGCAAGUUUUCAGGAAAUAUCACAGAUCAUGAUUAGAAAUAUUUUAAUCUUUUUAUUUUAUCAUGUCGGAAACAGUAAUCUGCAUAAUCCAAAAUAAAUGUAUGUGUAAAGUGUGCAGAGUGUGUACCUGAAUCGUGGAGUGGUGUAGUUGGAGUGUGUUUGGCAUGUCGAGGGAUCUCCCCCAUACUUGUUUUCUGCUUUCUUGCACAAAAAUAAAGUACAGACACACAAGACAUAAUAAUAAUAAUAAUAAUAAUAAUAAUAAUAAUAAUAAUAAUAAUAAUAAUAAUAAUAAUAAUAAUAAUAAUAAUAAUAAUAAUAAUAAUAAUAAUAAUAAUACUCUUUAUUGAUCUUGAGGCAUUUAUUACAAAAGACUGAUAGCAAACUGAUAGCAAACUGAUAAUAGCAAACUUAAACCGAAUUUAAAGAUAGAUGACUAAGAUGCAUUGCCUCAAGGUCUAAUCUAGAUAACUUAGCGGCGCUCUAAUUCCUUGAUCUUCUUGUUGGCACUGGCAAGAUCCUGCCUAAGGCCUAGUAUAAUGGUGUUGUGGUUAGAGAGCUUCCUAGUGAGGGAAUUAAUCGAGGACUCGAGGUCUAUGAUAACUCUAUCUAGCCUGCAAACUUUCUCAUCAAUAUCCAUUAUAGUCUUGCGACUCUUGGGAGGUGUCUCAAAAGCAUUGAGAGAGUGCUUCGGGGCUGCCUUUGGAGGGAUGAAACGGACUUUGGAUGCUCUAAUCCCUUCAAAGUAAGGCCUUUCCUCCGCUGUAGUGUAGCGAAUACUGCUGAUCUCGCCGCUCCGGUUGGUCUUGACUCCAACGACCCUCUCAUUGGGUCUAGGUGGAAGGAUCCUUAUGCCGAUUGGCACCUUGAUAGUGGUCUUCGUCUUGGAUGAUGAUCCUUUGAGGAGUAGGGGUUGUGGUGGUGCGGUGAGAACUGGUUGAGGAUGGUAAGAUUGGGCAGAGCUGCGUUGGUGUAAUGGCAUGGCUCCUAGCUGACGCUCUGUGUUGGCCCGGACGAGAGCAUGGGCAUCGGGGUCCUCCACAGGCUCCAUGUUGAGGUUGAAGGGGACGACUUCCCAAUCAUCGUGGUACUUCUCGGCCAUUGGAACAGCAAGGAACUAAUCCAACUUUAAUUGAAGGAGAGCUAAUCAAGCUCUAAUUGAAGGAGAGCUAAUCAAGCUCUAAUUGAAGGAGAGAAAGCUUGGUGGCUUGGUGUUUGAAAACUGAGGUCAGGGGUCUGUUUAUAUAGGGGUCAAAAGGGUGCCUCUAUGGGUUGUUCGGGUUGCUCCCGUCGACGUGCGUGCAAAACUUUCCAUCCGAGGGAUUAUUAGGAUCACCCUAAGUGCAUUUUCCAUAACAGAGAAAGUCGGGACCGAGGGGGAACAGGGGCUGGGCGCCCGCCCACUUGAUCUGGGCGCCCGCCCUCUCUCUGGCCCCUCUGUGGGCUCACUUCUCCAAGCGCAUUUCUAGAUGCGGAAUUAUUUAGAAAAAUAUAUAUAUGACCCAAAAUCAUCAGACCAAAAGUGUCGGGCUCUAAUUCUCCAUGGGAAGGUAAAAAUGGACUACGUCUAUUUCUUCAAAUUCCUCAUUGGGCUCUAAAAAUAAUUUAAGACGUUGACCAUUUACCUUGAAUAACGUACCUUCGCUAUUUUAAAGUGUGAUAGCUCCGUGGGAUGAUGAAUUGAUUACCUUGAAUGGUCCUUCCCAUUUGCUCCGGAGUUUUCCAUGCCCGAAAAGCUUCACCCUGAAAUUAAAAAGUAAUACCAUAUCUCCGGGUGUGAACUCCUUCAUCUUGAUUCUCUUGUCAUGCCACCUCUUGACUCUUUCUUUGUAGAUCUUUGAAUUGUGAUAUGCCUUCUCUCGCCAUUCUUCCAAUUCUGAUAGUUGCAUUCUUCUAUAAUCUCCAGCAACAUCUAGGUCCAUAUUCCAUCUCUUUAUGGCCCAGUGUGCUUUGAACUCUAGUUCAACAGGUAGAUGGCAAGUUUUCCCGUACACCAAUUGGUAUGGAGACAUUCCAAUUGGGGUCUUGUAUGUUGUCUGGUAUGCCCAGAGUGCAUCGGGUAACUUGUCUUUCCAUGCCGUUCCCAUUUCAUUUACUGUCUUCUGAAGAAUAUUCUUGAUUUGUUUGUUGGAAGUCUCUGCUUGGCCACUUGUCUGAGGAUGAUAGGGGGUAGCGACGUUGUGACGGAUUCCAUGUCUUGAUAGAUAUUGCUUGAAGCGUUUGUCGAUGAAGUGUGCUCCUCCAUCACUUAUCACUACUCUGGGGACUCCAAAUCAUGGAAAUAUAAUUUCUUCAAACAUCCUCUUUGAACUGACGUUGUCGGCAUGCUUGCAAGGUAAUGCUUCUACCCACUUGGAGACAUAGUCAACCGCCACCAAGAUGUACUCGCACUUCUUUGAUGGAGGAAAUGGACCCAUGUAGCUAUUCCCCAGACAUCAAAGAGCUCAAUCUGAAGGUUGUUGGUGAGUGGCAUUGCAUCCCUUGUAUUUAUGUUUCCGUGACUUUGACAUGGCCCACAUCUUCUGAUAUAUUGCCUUGUGUCUUCAUACAUUGUAGGCCAAUACAAUCCACACUGCCAGAUCUUUGAAUGUGUACGGAAUGCUCCAUAGUGACCUCCAUAUGGUGACGAAUGACAUCUGUCGAUGAUCUUCCAUCCUUCCUCAGCGGUCACACAUCUCCUGAGUAAGCCAUCAGAGCAUACUCGGAAGAGGUAUGGCUCAUCCCAUAUAUGUGAACGACUUUCUUGAAUAAGCUUCUUCUUGUUUGCUCCUGGUGGUACAUACCCUGAAACCAUAAAAUUAACAAUAUCUACAUACCAGGGGUCAGACCUGUUAAUCCCGUAGAGCAUGUCGUCCCGGAGUGAAUCAUUGAUGGGGGUUUCUUGUGGACUCUUAAAAUACAUUCUAGACAAGUGAUCAGCAACAGAAUUUUCUACUCCCUUUUUAUCUUUUAUUUCUAAGUCAAAUUCUUGGAGUAAUAAGAUCCAUCUAAUCAGGCGAGGUUUAGCAUCUUUUUUAGUGAGCAAAUAUUUUAAUGCAGCAUGAUCAGUGUAAACAAUUAUUUUAGCUCCAACUAAAUAAGAUCUAAAUUUAUCAAUGGCAAAGACAACAGCCAGAAGCUCUUUUUUCAGUGGUUGCAUAGUUAAGUUGAGCUCCUGUCAAAGUUUUACUGGCAUAAGCAAUUGCAUGAUGCUUCUUAUCUUUAGUUUGUCCCAAUACUGCCCCCACAGAAUAAUCACUAGCAUCACACAUAAUUUCAAAAGGCAACGACCAAUCAGGGGGUUGAAUGAUUGGUGCAGAGAUGAGUGCUUUCUUUAAUAAAUUGAAAGAUGUUAGACAUGCAUCAUCAAAUUCGAAAGGAGCAUCCUUGGCUAGCAAAAGAGUAAGUGGUCUAGCAAUAAAUGAAUAAUCUUUUAUGAAUCUACGAUAAAAACCAGCAUAGCCAAGAAAGCUUCGAAUUCCUUUUAUAUUCAUAGGUGGAGGUAGUUGUUCAAUUACUUCAAUUUUAGCUUUGUCUACCUCAAUCCCUCUUUCAGACACUAAGUGUCCUAGCACUAUUCCUUCCCUAACCAUAAAAUGACAUUUUCCCAAUUAAGGAUUAAGUGCUUUUCUUCACAUCUUUGCAAAACCUUGUCUAAGUUUUCAAGACAACUAUCAAAAGUUUUUCCAUAAACAGAGAAAUCGUCCAUGAAAACUUCCAUAAUCUCUUCAAUCAUAUCAGAAAAUAUAGACAUCAUGCAUCUUUGAAAAGAAGCUGGUGCAUUACAUAACCCAAAAGACAUUCCACGGUAAGCAUAAGUUCCAUAAGGGCAUGUAAAAGUGGUUUUGCUUUGAUCAUCAGGAUGGAUCGGGAUUUGAUGAUACCCUGAAUAUCCAUCUAAGAAACAGAAGAAUGAAUGGUUUGCUAACCGCUCUAGCAUCUCAUCUACAAAAGGUAAAGGAAAGUGAUCCUUUCUCGUGGCUUUGUUUAGUUUUCUAUAGUCUAUGCACAUCCACCAUCCUGUGACGGUGCGUUGCGGAAUUAGCUCGUUCUUUUCAUUCAUAAUAACUGUCAUGCCUCCCUUUUUGGGCACAACUUGUACUGGGCUCACCCACUCACUGUGCGGCACAGGAUAUAUAAUCCCUGCAUGCAGCAACUUUAUAACUUCCUUUUUAACUACCUCUCUCAUAGUGUUGUUAAGUCUACGUUGGGGUUCUCGAGAGGGUGUAACAGAAGGAUCUGUUGGAAUACGAUGGAUACAAAUCAUAGGACUGAUUCCUGUAAGAUCUUGAAGUGAGUAGCCGAAAACUGAGUGAUGUUUCUCAAGAAUGGUCAUUAAUCGCAGAGUUUGAUCCUGAGUGAGUUUAUCGCUAAUGAUCACAGGGAACUCUGGAUUAUUGUUUAGGAAAGCAUAGGUAAGACCGGGUGGUAAAGUUUUAAACUCUAUGGGAGGUCUAGGUGUUUCUGCAAACUCAUCUAAGGGUUCAGGCUCGGAAGGUUCGUCUUCUUCUUCUGUGAAGAAAGGAGUUUCAUCUUCUAAGUCUGGUUCAUCUAAAAGCUCUAGAGAUGCAGCCUUUACUUCCUCCAUAGGGUCAGGCAAAAGAUAUGACUCGGCCUUAUUAUUUAAGGAGUGUGAAAUUAUUAUUGGGAAUUUAAAAGUUUUUCCAAAAGAAAUGUGUAGCUUUCCAGUAUGACCUUCAUAAAGGAGUCUUCUAAAAGGUUGUCCUAUCAACAGGUCGAAGUCCCAUGUAUCAAAGAUAUAGAAGUUCAAAUGAACCAUGGAGCCUUCUACAGUAAGAGGUAAGACUGUGGACUAAUCGUCCUGAAGAUUCCUUUAUGACCUUUGUUGUGGGGAUUAAGACAAGAUUUUUAAAUAGUUUAAGUGCAAAGGAUUUAGACAUAAUGUUGAUCCCCACAACAGGAUUAUAGAGAGCAUUAAAUCGAUCAGAAUUAUAAGCACAGCGUAUAGUUAUAGAGGGUGUGUCCAAACGGAUCACAUCAGAGGAAAGCUCUGAUUCCUCCAACCAUUCGCUACUCAUUACUGAGAUAAGCUCUCUCAAUUGAUAUUCACUUGGCAAAUAAAUGCUAAACUGGCCGUUUUGGGGUUUGUCAAUAGAAUGGUAGUUUGAAAUAUUUCCAAAAUUGGCAAAAAAUCGGAUUCUAUAUCCAGCAUGAAGUCCGGUGGUGGAAUUUCUUCCUCUUGUGGCUCAGAACCUGGGAUAGCUAAAGUAGAUGAAGAAUUUCGCAGAGUGUCUACUUCGGCUUCGUAGGUUUCAUCAUGAAGGGUAUUAUCCAUCUCAGCUUCUAGGAUGCUAUCUAGGAUCACUCUAGCUUCAUCAGUAGGGAUGCGAAAGAAAGAACCUCUAGACAUUGUAUGUAGCAUUUGUUUGUGAUCUUUCUGAAGACCUCGAAAAAAGUGAAAUAAAAGAACAGGGUCUUCAAGAUUAAGGUUUGGACCAGAUUCUAAAAGAUCAGAAAAACGUUUCCAGGAUUUUCCCAAAGUUUCAUUAUAUUUUUGUUUAAAAGAUAGGACUUCGAGUCUAAGGUCGGCUAUACGGUCAAGGGAAUAGAAAUCUAGACAAAAGUUGGCUCGUAAAACUCCCCAUUCACCUUGUUGUUGACUUACCUUCUGACUGUACCAUUGUCUAGCUUCUCCUCUUAGAGAAAAAGGAAAAAGCUUCCAACGUAAAGUCUUAUCAGAAAUGCCUUCAAUGCGAAGACAAUCACAUGUUUGCUCAAAAUCUCUAAUAUGAAGGUAAGGGUUUUCGUCUUCCUUUCCCGAAAAAGAUAGGUUUUGAAUCAUGGCAAUCAACCUAGAACUUAACUUAUACUGGGAUGUUUGGAUAGGCUGUGAUGAUUCCCAUGGUAAAAGGUCAGUUGCUAAAGGGAUUGCAGACUCAUGGAUCGAUUUAGAAUUUUGGUUUUCCAUAAGGUAAGAAUAAAGAAAAUAAAUAAAGAAUAUAAAAGAUAAGAAAAGAUAAAAGUAUAGAUACAAGCUAAUAGUAAGACUCAGGUUAUCUUAGCAACCGUCUUUCUCCCCGGCAACGGCGCCAGAAAUGCUUGUUGAUAUUUGGGAACGCAAUAAGGAAUUGAUCCGCAAGCGCACGGAUAUCGGUGAGCACUUCACCCGGGAAAUUAUCCAGAGUAUCGUAUUUAUUUUUUUACCACUAGGAGAAAGAGUGCAUCUGACUAACCGGUCUAUUACUACUAACCUUUAGGCACAAAGAAUGUCUUUCGAUGUGAGUGAUAAAUAGAGAAGACUGCAACCGUAGUCUUCUUCUAACCUUGGUAAGGAUGAUCUACUGUUCUAAUGGGGAGGCUAACGGAAACUGGACACCACAAAGGAUGUUCAACCCGCACCUAUAAACCCUAUCCUUCCUGCUAACAAGAUGUGAUCUACAAAGGUAACUCGGAAUUGUCACGUUCCUCACUACUACCACGGUCCAGCUAGUCAGGGAAUAUCUAUGAGUACCCCAGCCUAAACACCACGUUUACGCCAGCAAUGAUUACUCUAAACUCUACGCGAAGAGAUUAAAGUAAACUCAUAAACCAUAAGAACAAUAAAACAAGAACUUACUAGAAUUUAGAAGUCGAAAUACUGAAGAAUCCUAGGAGCAAGCUUCGGGUUAGGAGAACUUGAUCCCGCAGGUACAAGCUUGGAGUAGACACCGACAGGCCGGGCUUCCUCCAAUCUACACCUCCACUCUAUCUCUCUCAAUCUAGUAGAAACUAGAAGAUCUAUUUCUACCUUACAUUGGUUGCUAAGCCUAAAAAGAAAUAUUAAUUAGAGAAGAGGUUUUCCUUCGAGGGCACCCCUCAGUCUCUAUGAUAAUUUCUUCAUGUCUUCUCCAGGGGCCAGGGGGUCUCCUUAUAUAGUCCUCCCCUUCUAUGCGUUUUUGGGUCGAUAGGCGAGGUGGUACUAUGUUUUUCUUGAUCCAAUAGGUCGGUGGAAUAUCCGAGCGAAGAGAGUCCUGAAUCGAAUCCAGCAGGGGGCGGGCGCCCAGGUCACCAGGGCGGGAGCGCUGGGCCUGGCCCCUUUCGGCCUUCGUCUUCUUCCCGUAGCUUCUGGAGUCUUCUAGAUGGUGUAAAAUCGCGCGGUGCGUUGAUAUCUCUAUGUAAUCCCGACAUGUGGGCCUUUCUUCCUUAUUUCCUGAUAACCCCCUGCAGAAACAGAUAAACAACAAAACUCGUGGAAUUCUGUCAGAUCAAACCCUAAUUCUAGGUGUGGGUUGCAUAUUGGUCCUUUCUCUUGUUUAAUUGAUAAUUAAAAUUGAUACUUAAGAACCGUCAACAGCCGGUACGUUGCCUUUAUCUUGACCCAUGAUAGAAUGUCUGUAUGAGUAGCUAAUUGUUCAUCCCAUGAUGAGGACACUCAAGUAUGUAGUCUUGAAAGUGCUCCAUAGAUUCUAGAAUUGUCUCAUCACAUUGUUGCUGAAAACUCAAUAUCUUUCCAUGUAGAGCAUUGGUCUUGCCUUUGGGAAAGAACUUCACCAAGAAAUUGGUGGAACAUAGUGCCCACAUUGUAUUCUUCUCUUUGUUAGCAUAGAACCAUUGCUUCGCUUUCCCCAAGAGUGAGAAUGGGAAAAGGCAAAGUAAUAUAGCAUCUCUAGGGACAUCCUUGAUAGUGAAAGUGCUACAAAUCUCCAGGAAGUGCUGGAGAUGAGCACUAGCAUCUUCAUGGCCCUUCCCGCAGAACUGGCUUGCUUGUACCAUAUUAAUCAGCGCUGGCUUGAGGUCGAAUGAUCCAUUAAUGUCCACAGCUAGUCCAGUACAGAUGUUGGCCGUAGUGGGAGCUGAGAACUCAUGAAGUGACUUGUCAGCCAUGACGUCAAUCUCUGGUGUCAAUCUUUGAGUAGGUUGAUCUUCUGACUCAGGAGGAUUGGCAAGCUGAUAUGUUGAUGAUGUUGAUUGGUUCCUUCUUAACCUAACCUUUGUCUUCCUAAUCAAUGUCGCCAGAUUAUCAACCAAGUUAUCUGGGAGAUUAAACCUAUUCAUACAUUACCCUGUAUAUGAUAAAAAUAGACAAAAAGACAAGGGUAAACCUGCAUGAGUGAGAAGGAUGGAUGGUGGUCAAUCCAUGAGUGGAUGUAGUGAUCCUCAUUAUCCUUUAUUGCUUUCACCUUCGCGGCAAUGGCGCCAAAAAUGCUUGUUGACACUUCUUAACGCAACUACCAAAAAUAGACUCUAAACCUAUCCUUAGCAGCGGUGUCAUAAUUACUUAACAUCACUUAAGCAAGGUUGUCAUCCCUAACAUGAUGUAGAAAUGCUGGUAUUAAAUCUAUAUGCUUUUCUAGGAAUAAAUAAAUAAAUAAAUAAAUAUAGGAUCCACAAGCGCACAGAUAAUACUGAUGUAGCAUUUUAACCAGGAGUAUUCCAGGUAUCGUUAUUUAUAUUUUUACCAUUGGGAAGGGACUUGCAAUGGAUAAUGAGCAAUGAGCACUGCAUGUAAUCAUGGAGACCUUAACCAUGUCUUUAUCUAUCUCUCAUGCAGGGUAAGUGUCACAUAAGAUAAAUAUAUUAAUAUGAAUAAUAAGUGACACAUGAUAAAUAAGAAUUCAUAGCCAUAAGAUAAACAUGAUAAUUAUCUCAAUUAGAUUACUCUAAGUCUAUAGCACUAGCAUCGUAUUAGGAAAAUCUACAAGAAUAAAUCCUAAGUAUUCUAACUAUACUGUCAAAGCAUACAAUGAUUAGUGCAAGUACACCUAGCAUCAUCACUACAAAUAGUUAUAUCUAUGCAUUGUGAUAUUAGCAAGAAAGAUCAUGAAAUAGCAAUCCUUUCCUGUAAUAAUGGUGCUAUACAAUCCUUAUAAUCGAGAGAAGGACUCAACAGGACAGUCACUCCCGCGAUCUACCUCAAGCUCCAAACUAUAAGGGGUAAUCAUAGAUAAAAACGGUCUAGGCACCUCGCCUACACAAUAUCUAUCACUCACCCAUCAGCCUAAUAAGUAAGUGCUAUACAAUCCUAUGCAUAAACAUAAUUCUAAACUAACUACACUAAGCAUAUAAUCAAAGUAAACUAAGAACAAUAUAAUUGAGAACAUAAGCAAAUAGAAUAAAGUCAAUUCCGAUGUAAUCAAAUAGAUCAAAGUCAUAUUCAUAGUAGCAAGGACUAAUAUAAAUAUACAAAGACAAUAAGAGUUUACCAAGAACUAAAGAUUGAUCUGGACUCCAAGAUUAACUCGUCUCCUUCUAGAUCUAUUCUAUGUAGCUAUGCUAAAGAACUAUAGAGAUCUAAUUGAGAUGGUGGCUAAGAACUCUAUAGAGACAGAUCCAUUCAAGGGACCCCUCUCUGUCUAAUUCUUCUUCUCUUGAUCUUCUCAGAUAAUAAUGAACUCCUCUCCAGGUGGGUUAGGGUCUUUAUUUAUAGCCCCCUAGAAAGCACCACCACCCUUGGAUCAAACCGACUUAAACGUGCACUUAAGAUUAAUCCUCAAAGUCGGUGGAGGCAGGAUCCACGAGGUUCACUCUGAUUGGUUGAACCCCCCGGGCAGCCACCCCUGACAGGGUGGGGCGCCCACCCCUGCCCUAUGGCAGGUGGGCCCCACCUUUUAGGUGGUGUCUUUCCAAACCUUAUGGAGUAUUCCCGAGUUGAUGUCUCACAUAUUCUCUCUAUGUAAAUCUGGCACGUGGACCUCCUUUUGUUCUUAUUCUGAUAACCCCCUACAGAAAUACACAAUCACCAAAACUUGUGGAAUUCUGUUAGUGAUAACCCCAAUAGAUAGAUAGUAUUCUGAUUUAAGUCCUUUCUUAUGCUAUGUUGAUGGUUAAAAAGAGUACUUAUCUACCGUCAACAUGCUCGCCGAGGAGGAAUGAACCAGCACAACAUUGCCCAUCCCAUAGGGAAGUGGGGACGGCCUGGCCGCUUGCCUUCUCGAUGCUAGAGUUGGCCCCGGAUGAGAUGGCGGUGCCCCGAGGUGUGACAUUGGAGCAGUGUCACUUACCAGCCUACAUUCCUCCCAAGGCUAGGCAUAAACCAGACAUACCCCUCUUGAGAGAGAAUGUACUAGUCACCGGUCAGGAAGUGCUAGAGGACUGUGGGGGGUUGUCUCUAACUCCAGCGAUGGAGCGAGGACCUCCCUGUCUCUGUCACGCUCGCCGACCACGGUGAGAGUGAUGGCCUUAGUGCCUUCCUUGUUUUGGUUGAGGCAUGGAGGGCUCAUCAUGGGAUAGACCUCUAGGAGGGAGGAGGACCAUGUCAUAGUCAUAGCCUAAUGACAUGAACUCUAGCCUCCCAAACUAGAUAACCGUGCUGAGACGAAGUGGGUGAUGGUCGUCGGCCAUCCGGAGCUUGCUAAAGGAAAGAAUGUCAUAGGCAGAAAGCCCCUACCUGGCACGCAAAUUGUUGGUAUUUGGACUCAGAGUCCUAGCAUCAGCUAGUAAAUUUGUAUCUACGUGCCUUCGAUGUGGAUGGUGUGCAAGAAGAACAUAAGCGAUUUAUACAGGUUGAGGCAAGGAGUGCCCUACGUCCAGUGGAAGGGAGGAGUCUUGUAUUAUCUUGCACUAAAGUGCUUGUAGUAGGGAUUACAAACAGGGUGAGAUAGGGAGUGGUUCCCAAGUCCGGGAGUAAAGUGUUGUGCAUGAACUUGAGUGUGUUCGAGUGCCAGUGAACUUGUCUACUUCUUAUGUCAUGUUCCUAGAACAGGCCCCUGCCCCCUCCUUUUAUAGUUGCAAGGAGAUGCAGGGUUUACAUAUAUGUGUACUAUACUAUUCCUAUUAGAUGCGAGGCCAUGUGGAGGCAAGGCAUAGUACUCUGGAGGGAUGGCAUAGUACUAUGGAUGGAUGGCCCCUGUGCUUUAGCCGUUGUGGUCACUCGUAGUAGAAAUGUGCGGCAUGCCCAUUCAUGUAGACGUCAUGUUGAGCCACGCCUAUCCUUUGAACGGGAUAUCCGACCCUGUAGAUGACGUGCCAAUCCCUUGCCCAUUGACUGAUGGAGAGACCUGAGACCCUCUGGAUUGGGAGCAGUGCCCUGAACUAUGACGAGCUCGUGAGCACAGGGGCAUGGAUUGACACCCAUAUGUCUACACAGGUCUCUGCUAUACGCACAAUGACGGGAGUUGACAGCACUAUGAGCAUCAUGCCUUGCCCUGCGCAGUUCUGGGUGUAGUGGAGAUUGGACCCCCAUCUUCUCUAGCUACAGCGCGGGCCCAUUGUGGGGUUGUGGCUGACAUCAUGGGAGGUCUCUGUUGACACUUGCUAACACCACUUGAAUACUAGGUUGUCAUCCCUAGCAUGGCACUAGAGUGUACUAUGGUAUUUAUACGCACACAGAUAAACCCGGAAGCACACAGAUACCGUUGUAGCUUUUACCCGAUAAGAGGUUUUAUCGUAUCCACAGGGAAACGGGAGAACCAACUACGCUCUAACUUAACCAAGAUAGAUAGAUAAGUGUAAAUAGGAAAGAUGGUAGAAUUGAAUAAGAAUAAUAUUGAAGGUAAGAUAACAAUGGGUGAUAAUAUGGGAAUAGAGAGUAGAGCAAUCUAGUAUAUGGGCGAUGGUAGCAUAAUAGAGAGGAUAACUAUGGUUUCUGUACUUCAAAGGGGUACGUCUAUGUCUGGGAUGAACCACGUGAUAAGAAUACACCACAAAGGAUGCUUAUCCAUAGGCCGAUAAACCCUACCCGUCCUGCUAACAGGAGGUGGACUACAGGGGACCAACAUAACUGUCACGUACGCAGCCUACCACACGAUCCGGCUAGACAGGGGAUAUCCACAAGUAAUCUAGGUCUAAGCACCACGCUUACACCUAUACUACAACUCUCACCUAUAGCGUCCUAUAGAUUAAAGUACUCAAAAGAGUUGUGAACCAGAACAUACAUGAUUAGUAAUUGCAUAAUAAAUUAGAAGUAGAAUACCAGAGUCAUCCCAUGAGCAACCUUGAUUAGAGCUUGAUCAUGGCAAAGUACAACCGGAGGAAGAACCGACAGGCCGGCCUCUCCUCCAAUCCUCCCUCGCUCUCCAUCUUGCUACUAUCUAGAUCUACUCUAGUUUAGAGAAGAGAGGAGAGCUCUCAUCUCCAAACCCUAGCUUUUGCUUUGUCUAUGAAUAAGAAUAGGGAUCAAGGGGUUGUCUCCUCUAGGGGCCACAGGGCCUGCUUAUAUAGUCCCGUCAAGUGAAUCUGGGCUGUCGGAUCAAACCGACAUUAAUCGCACGGUUUUCCUUGAUCCUUUAGGUCGGUGGAGCAUGAUCCGUGAAGUAGAACGUGAUUGGCCGAAACACCAGGGCGGGCGCCUAAGGGGGGAGGGCGGGCGCCCUGUCCCCGAGCCCGUUAGGCUUCCCGUUCGUUCCUGUGGCUUCUGGAGUCUUCUAGAUGAUAGAAAAUUGUGCGGCACGUUAAUAUCUCUAUGUAAACCCGACAUGUGGGCCUUUCCUCCAUAUUUCCUGAUAACCCCCUGCAGAAAUAGACAAACACCAAAACUCGUGGAAUUCUGUCAGAUAAAACCCUAAGUCUGGGUGUUGGUUGUAUUUGGAUCCUUUUCUUUAUUUAUUUGAUGAUUAUAUUUGGUACUUAAAGACCGUCAACAACUCCCCCAAGCUUACCUCUUGCUCGUCCCUGAGCAAGGAUGGACUUAAGAGUUUCUGCAGUGGUUUUAUGCCUUAAAGGUACACAUGCGUUCAAACAAGAUCUCAUCUCUGGGUUAGGGUAAACUGUUAAGAUUUAAACUUACUCAUUUUUCCUUCCACCAUGGGGCUUGCAACCGUCACUUGUGUCUUAAGCAGUUAACAGAUAGAACGGUCAAGUCAAGCGCCAUGUCUCCUGUUCUUUGAUCAACUAUAGCUCUGGAGUUUUUGUAGAUUUUCAAAAUAAAACUCAGAGAUUCCUUGUAUGACUCUCUCAAUUCUCUCUUUUGUGGUAUUUCUGGAUCCUUACUAAGGCAGUUAUGGUAUAUGCCUUCUCUCCAAGUAUGUGGUAUUUUUGGUAUGAGGCAUAGUGAUAUUGCUUUCUCUCUCACCCUACUCUAAUAAGGUUUUGAUAUUUGGAGCUCAUAGGUGGGAGACAGCUAAUACAUACUUACAAGACAUUUAUUGCAUAGUCAAACCAUGGAUCCAGAGAAACAAGUCAAUAAGUCAAAUCAAGAUGUGCAUGUGUGGCGAAUGAAUGGUGUAUGGUGAUGAUGGUGAUAAUGGUGAAAACAAUGGUGAAAGUCUAAUUCUAAUUUUACUCUUUUGAGGGGAUACAUACCUUUCUUGCACUUUGAAGCUUUUUUAGGGGAAUGAGAUGCUCUAUAUUUUCUUUUUUUCUUUUCUCUCAGGUGAGUAUCUUGUACCCCUAAUUCUACUGUCAGACACUUGUCCCUUUUUACCUCUUGUCUCACUUUUUCUUUUCUUCGAGGUUUCGGGCACUUGCCCCUUUUUAUUUCCUCGUAUUCACUUUUUUUAGAGCACUCACCCUCCUGGAAUAAUAUAGCAAGUGGUAGUAACCAAAAUAUCUCGAGCAUUUAUUUCACGGGGAAUAACAGGCAUAGGAUAAUGUUUUUGGCUAUUCUCUCCUGGAUAGGAGUAGAAUAAUUUUGUGUAAAUCUGGAGAUGAAAAUGAGUGGAUGUAUGUGGAUGCGUACUUCCGGAGUAGAAGCAGCAUGUAUGAGUGAACGUGCAAGUGGAUCUUGAUUUUAACCGCAUGAAAACCUCCUAAGGGUCUACACAGCUUGACCACACUCAAUGCUCAUAAGCAGUAAAAAGUACAUAUAUGGUUCAUAGUCUAAUAAGCAUGUAUAUAUGGCUGUGGUAAGAUUUUAAACUCUCGUCAUACAGGAACUCAUCAUGCAACAUUUUAAAGAUUUUCAAAGAUAAAAUUCUCAAGAAUUCUAGCAUCUCUAGGAACAGAUAAACAGCAGCUCAACCUUCCCAUAUCAUAUCCGUUAACGAAUUAGACUUUAGAUCAAAUACUCUUCCCAUAAUUUUAGGUUUGAGCAAAUCUUAAUUCAUAACGGUCAUGUCUAAACUUGAGAGAGAGCUCAAAUUUGAAAACUAGGUAAUUGGCAGAGCAACUAUUCAUCAUAUCCAUGUGAGAGCUUAUCAUGAGGGAUCAUCGCAAACUUUAUUUAUUUAGCAAACU